Molecule: long non-coding RNA, 51783 nt
Filed under: Phaseolus vulgaris (common bean)
Lineage: Eukaryota; Viridiplantae; Streptophyta; Magnoliopsida; Fabales; Fabaceae
Description: long non-coding RNA (PVUL_LNC005154)
Source: RNAcentral
ACCAAAAACUCAUCUAUGGAUGCUGCUGGUGCAACCCUUUUGGGUUACAUCUUCUCCUCCUCCUUAGCUUUCCUUCUUCUCACUCUACUUUUGAAGUACUUUGGCAUUUUACGAACCAAAAAUGGCAGUGUUGGAGCUCCACCAUCUCCACCGUCGCUUCCCAUCAUCGGUCAUCUUCACCUUGUGGGUUCCAUCAUACCGAAAUCAUUGCAAGCUCUGGCUCGCCGUUAUGGCCCUCUCAUUCAGCUCCGUUUAGGUGCCUCAACAUGCGUAGUUGUAUCCAACGCCCAAGUCGCCAAAGAAGUCAUGAAAACACAUGACCUCAAUUUCUGUAACCGACCCCAGUUUGGAUCCUCAGAGAACUACUUAUACAAAGGCUCUGAUUUCGUCACUGUCCCAUAUGGUCCUUAUUGGCGCUUCAUCAAAAAGCUUUGCGUUACUCAACUUCUCUCCACCACGCAGCUUGGGCGCUUACGGCACAUCCGGCAGCAGGAGAUAGAGAAGCUCUUGAAAUCUCUCCUGGAGUGUUCCUCUGAAGGCAGGGAAACGGAUUUGAGCCGUGAUCUUUCUGCUUUGACCAACAAUGUCCUGUGUCGGAUGGCCAUGAGUACGACCUGUUUGGACCACGACGUUAAUGAUGGUGAGGAUAUUUUUGGCCUGGUGACAGAGUUUAUGCACUUGGGAGCCAAGUUGAGCAUGGGUGAGGUGUUGGGACCAUUGGGAAAAUUUGACUUGUUUGGGUAUGGAAAGAAGCUUGUCAGAAUAGUUGGUAAAUUCGACCGGAUUAUGGAGCGCAUCUUACAGGAACAUGAAGCGAACAACUCCGAAAGAGGGGACAUGAUGGAUAUUCUAUUGCGAGUCCACAAAGAUCCAAAUGCUGAGAUGAGGUUAACAAGGAAUGAUAUCAAGGCCUUCUUCCUGGUAAGUUCUUAUCUUUUGCCUUGGAUAUUCACUGUUUUUUAUGUAAAAAAGUUUCACAUUUUUAGAACGGAGUAGAGUAGAAAAGUGACUAUAGUUUUUGUGGUGUGUUGCAAGGAUAUUUUCCUAGCGGGAACAGACACGUCUUCAACAGCUUCCCAAUGGGCCAUGGCAGAAAUCAUGAACAAUGCAGGAGUGUUGACAAAGGUGAGGGCAGAGAUUGAAGAAGUGGUGGGUUCUAGCAGGUUGGUUACUGAAUCAGACCUUCAAAAUCUACCUUAUCUCCAAGCUGUUGUGAAGGAAGUGCUAAGACUCCACCCUACGGCACCGUUCACUAUUAGAGAAUCAAAAGAGGACUGCACCAUCAACGGGUAUGAUAUAAAGGGCCAGACACGGACACUGAUAAAUAUGUACGCCAUCAUGCGGGACCCAGAAGCGUGGGCGAACCCAGAAGAGUUUAUACCAGAAAGGUUCUUGGUAGACGACAGUGAUGAGACGAAGGGUGGUGAUUUCAGGUACCUUCCAUUUGGAUCUGGGAGGAGGGGAUGCCCUGGAUCUUCACUUGCCUUAACGGUUAUACAAGGGACAGUUGCAUCAUUGAUCCAAUGUUUUGAUUGGAAGACGAAAGGGGGAGAGAGAGUUUGUUUGGAAGAAGGAUCAUCAUUUUCUACAGGAUUGGCAAAACCACUUGUUUGUUAUCCUGUCACUCGUUUUAAUCCUUUUUAAAUCUACACUGCUGUUAUCUCUAUCAAAAGUACUGUUCUGUCAUCUACUAUGAUGUUGUUUUUAGGUUCAUCAUCUACUCAUUCACCAUUGGUGUUGUUUGUUACCACUGUUGUCAUGUAACUGUGAUUUUGUAAACAUAUUUAUAGUUUCUGUCAAAUAAUGAGGUGUCUCAGUGUGCAUUGUGCAUUGUGCUGUCUUCAAUUAAUUAACCAACUAAAAGGAGAAAUCAAAAAGAAUAUUCGUUUUAAUUACUUAAUAUCUUUGUUUCAUAGUUUAGUAAAAAAAAUUAAUUACUUGAAAAAUAAAAAAUUUAGAUUUAAAAGUUAUUUUAUUAUUUUAAACUGAAAAAUACUUUUAUAUUAAAAUUUAUUGAAUACAGUCAGGUCUAGCUUAAAGAAAUUGUAUCAGUUUGGUUGGAUUCAUACUUUAAUGAUCAAAAAGUCUAGUUUCAUCCGAUCCUAUAUUGGAUAAAUUUUUUAUUCAAAUUAAGUACUCAAAUAAAUUUAAUUUAAUUUAAUAUAUACCUAAAUUCAUUUAGAUUGUUGGUUGAAUGGACUGAGCUAAAAUUAACCUCACUUCAAAAUUCCUAAAGUAUUGAUCAGGAGUGCCUCAUUGAAAUAACAUGACAUGAUAUUGUUCACCUAUUCAAUGUAGCUUUUUUCAAAAUCAGUUGUGACUAUAGCCAAGGCAUAGAUAUAAAUACCAAAAAAAAAAACAUCUCAUGGCAGUAAUGUUGUUCUUCUAUUGCUUGAUCCUCCAGUUCACCAAAAUGUUGCAAAGUCAGCAGCCCACUAAUUAGUAUUGCAGAAAAUAAUUAGAUACAAUGAAAUGAUAGAAUCCAAGUUCGAAACAAAAAUAAAAUACUUUGAUUGGUUAAAAGUUUCUCUAUAAACACUAAUGACAGGAAAAAAAAUGGCUUUUCCGAAGAGCUAAUUUUAAUUAUGCACAACUAUGCACAUAAGCUUAAUUUUAGUUUAUAGAAGAAGUUUAUUUAAUUAUUAAUGCUUAUCUUCGUCUUAAAUAUAAGUACUAAUGGAGAUGUUUAUCUAAACAGGAUUUAGAACAACUUGUAAGAUGAAGUGUAGCUAUUUUACCUGGAUGGAGAAUAGGAAAAAGCAUGCAAUUAAGGCCUAACAAUGAAUGGAGGUUGUAGAAAUUGUCAAUGCCCUUGUCAAUGUGAAACAUCCAAGCAACCAGAUACCGAUCAAGUUCAAAAUGAAAGCAACAAAUUGUAAGGUAAGAUGAUUGAUCUUUUGAAGUUUUUAGUUCCAGAUAGAGUCUUGUAUGCAAGCAUCCCUGUAAAUUGCCACAGUGAAUAAAAGAAGGUAGUUUCUAACAUGAAAGUAUCUAUUGAUAUUGAUUUACAUUCAGCUUAUGAAAAAAAAUCAUACAUGGAGACAAAACAAAAUCAAAUCUUAUUUGAACUUAAGUACAUGAUAAAAUGCUUAAAUUUAGUUAUUCAAAUAAAUUUUGUGUUGAAAAUAUUUGCAGUUAAAUGAAUGUAGUUGAGUGUAGUGUAAAAUCUGUAGAACAAAUAUAAAUUAUUCUCAUGUGAAGCUGAAGUUCUUAUCUCUUGAAGUUUGGUGUGAUUUGAACAUAUGGAACUUGCAAAAUCAUAAUUAUGAAGACAUGGCACAGGUAUAUGGAUAAUAGAAAUUUGUGCGGGAUUUCAUAGUUUGCGUGAUUAAGGUAAGGCUCUUGAGAUGAACUGAAUGCAUUGGUUAACUUUAAACAUGUUAGCAGCUGGUGGCAUGCUUGAAAGUACCUUAAAUAGAUUUUAUGUUUAUUUUAGGUAUUAUCAUUCUUCACCAAUCCUUACACUUUUAUUUACUCGUCCUUCAUUGUAGAGUCUAUGUAUUGCAGGUUUGUCUAAUGGUUAUCAACAGUUUUCUACCAGUUUUUCUGUUGUCUCAGGGGGGAACAUUUUGUCAAUGGGGUGCAGAGAAUUUCUAGCCAGAAGAUUCCCACUCCUGGAUUCUCAGUCAACAGGAGUCACUCACAUAUGAACAUAGAUUAUAAUAUUAAUGGAGAUGCCUUUCCGGUGUAGAGUCUACUAUGGUACCACUGUCACAACUUCAGUAGCAGAAGCAGCAUGUUGGUGGCCAAAAUAGUCAUGUAUUAUUGCAGAACCUCAACAGUCAAAUGGGUAUUGGAGUGAGAUCUGGUUUACUACAGAAGCCAAUUACAAACUCAAAUGGUGCUAUAAAUAGUGGAUAUGGCUUAAUUGGAAACAAUAUACAGCUUGCAAACGAACCUGACACUUCUUUCAGCUAUGCCUCCACUUAUGCCAAUUCACGUAAACACUUGCACCGGCACUUUGAUCAAAAUCAGAAACAAGUAAGGUAAUAUUUUUCUCACUCCUUCUAAUUUUGUUUUACCUGUAACCCAACACCUGUAUUAAGCUUCAUAACCUUUUAGGACUAUGUUUUUUUGUGAGUAUACACAUCUGUGUGUCUGUAUACAUAUUACAUGUUCUGUAUUGAAUGAUAGCAAAGGGUAAUAAUGUAAGAGAAAGUUGUAGACUAGGGUACAAAAGAAAUUGAUGAUUAAGUUUGUGUAUGGAGUGAAAGCUAUUAGUGUAAGAAUAUUACGUGGCACCUCACGAUUAUUUAUCUUAUUAAUUGAUCAAUUACCAUAAUUAUCAUAUUAUAUUAUUGGUAAUUACUUGAUGGACGUAAUUACUAUUACCAUAAAUAAUUAGGGUUGGGUGUAUUAUAAAAAUAGAGAUGACCAGACAACUAAAGGGACACCCUCAUUCCCUAAAGGGAUUUUCGAGCCUCUCAUCUCUUUGUCUCACUACUCACAUAAUUCCAUUCUAAACGAUACACCCUAAAGGGGAAACCGAUCAAGAUCAUGUCUUCGUCCCUCAGCCAUACGAUCACAGGUCUACUAGGUAUUAUUUAAUCAUUAUUCUCGUUUCAUUAUAUGAUUAAGGAAUCCUAAUCCAACAUGUGGUAUCAGAGCGUUUAUGUUGCUUAAUCGAUUCUUCUUUCGUUUUCCCUAAAUUUCACUAGUGCAAAAAGAAGAAAAGGAUACGCUUUAUUUAGUGCGGCUUUUGCGCUACCAGCUUUCGUAAAAAACGCGGUGGCAUUUUUGAAAUUUUUUUGAUUUACGAAUGCGGUUAUUUGAAUAGCCGCAUUCGUAAAUCAAAGCACUUGAUUUACGAAUGCGGUUUUACCUUUAACCGCAUUCGUAAUUCCUUUUUUACCCUAAAUUUUGAAGGGCGCCACACACAAUUUCAAACUUUAUUUCUCGUCUUUGUCUUCGUUUCGCGUUCGCACUCUGAGUUCGUCUCCUUCUGCUGCAUCUGCAUUCCAUUUGUGCAAUGUAAGUUUCUUGAACUCUCUUUCUUCCUCUUCAUCUUCACAAAUAUAUGCAUAAAUGUUUUCGUUUUUCUUAUAUAUGUUUUUUUCCUUGCAUUGGUGGUCUCGAAGCACUGUUUCGUUGGCUGACAUUCGUUUUUCUUACAUUGUUUGGUUUAUUUGGUUUAUCGCAUUGCUCAGUACUCUUUCAUUGUCUUCGUGGUUUCUUGUGGAUUUUUUGGUUUGCUCCGUUGCUGCUUCCCUGUCCGUCGUCGCUUCUGCUGCCGCCAUCCCGUGAAUCUUCAUCUUUGGCUUCACACAAGAUUGACGAUGUUUUAAAAUUUUUAAUUUUUUUUAAUGAUUUGGCAUAUAUAAGUGCGGUUAAAGCAAAUAACCGCACUUGUAAAUGGUAUUUAUAUUUCUUGAUUUACAAGUGCGUGUUGAUCAAAUGCGGUUAUAAAGCCGCAUUUAUAAAUUCAAAAUAGCCGCAUUUGUUUUAUGUUUCUGCACUAGUGUUUGGAAGAAACGAAGAUUUUGAUUCAACCUAUUGAUUUUUGAUGUUUUUAUUUUGGUAUAUUAUUGAACCACUUAUUUUCGAAAAUCCACAUUGAUAUCAUAAAAAUAAAUUUUAAUUUUUUCGAGAUCCAUAAUUAUUUUAAGAUUUUGAAAAUUAAAAUUUAAUAUGAAUGUUAUGUGUUCUUCAUAAUUUUCGUGAGUAUUCUCUUAUUUGGAAUGGAAUUAAUUUUGAUUCUAUGUUCAUCAUCAUUAUUUGUUGUUCGUAUGAAUUUUCGAAAAUUAGGAAUAAAGAAUUUUUGGAAAUUAAUUAUUCCCUUAAUUAGGAAAUUUCGAAAAUAAUAUUUUUCCUUAAUUCAAAUUUUCGAAAUACAAUUGAUUCCCUUAAUUAGGAAUGAAUUUGAUUUGAUUGUGUUUUCCUAAAAAAAAAUAAAAAUUGAUAUCUUAGUCUCCAAGUUUUUCCUUAUUUAAGAUAGUAUAUUCUUGCCUUAUUAAUUUUCGGGUAUUAUAAUUAUUAUUACUAUUUUCGAAAAUAGCAGUCGUGUCAAACUUGGAAACAUAUCAAUCUCAUUAAAAUUUUGAAGACCAAAUCUAAAAUCAAAUCCUUAAUAUUCCGCUACUCACCUUAUCGGGUUUACGAGUAACAUAUUUACGCGUUUCCUUUCAUUUAUCGAAUUAAAUAUGGUAAAUCUCAUGAUACCGUAAUUAUGUUUAAAAAAAUACUUAUUUUGUUAAACUCUUAAAAAAUAUAUAUAUAUAUAUAUAUAUAUUAAGUUUGACAAAAUUAAAAUUAAAAUUUUUGCAUAAACUUAAUAAUAGGAGUCUCCCUUCUGUCCAACGAUGAUGUGUUAUAUCUUGUUAUUUGAGUCUAAUUAAGCACCUUCACUUACUUGUGAGUACACUUCAUUAUUAAAUAUUCACAUGACAUUUGCCUAAAAACACAAUUAUUUCUAUUUUGUCCAACGAUGUUUGAUGCACUUGUGUUUUGCAAACUUAAUAUGUGCAUAAGCUUAAAUGUUCACUUCUGUCCAAAGAUGAUGUGUCACAUUCUUAUUGCACAUACCUUACUUAUAAUUGUUCAUUAUGCUUAAAUAAUUGGUAAUUAACCAAAGUGAAAGCUGAUUGUUUAAGUAGAACCUAAUCUAGUAUGUUAUUUUGAUGUUAUAAUAGAUUUUAUCACAACUUCAUUAUCAUAAUGGUUCUUAUUUAUGCCUACUUUAGAUCUAAGUUUCCCUAUGUCACUCUAACUUUUUCCUUAGCCUAAGUAUCUUAAUUCGUCGUCUAACCAGCCCCUAAUAUGGGAAUUGAGACCUUGACUGGUGAAAAUCAGUGAAGGUUUCCUAGUCCACUUCAUUAUGACUUCUCUUCCUUCUGCGUUUGAAGCCUUCAAAGUCAACUAUAAUACUCAGAAGGACAAAUGGUCCAUGAGUGAGUUGAUUGCUAUGACUGUUUAAGAAGAAGAGCGCCUGAAGCUGGAGAAACCAGAUGUUGCUUACCUCGUGGCUGCUGAAUCAAAGAAGCGGAAGGGCAAAUUCCAUAAAAAAAAGGAAUCUAAUAAGGUCCCUAAAACUUAUGCAAGUGCACCCUCCAGCUCUAACAAAUCCACUAGCAAGUCCUACUACAAGUUUUGCCGCAAGGUAGGACAUAAGCAGUCUGAGUGCUCAAGCUUUAAGGAGUGGCUGGCUAAGAAAGGUAAUCAUCUAAAUAUGAUAAUUGAGUCCUUUAAUUUAAAUGUUCCAACUAAUACUUGGUGGUUUGACUCUAGUUCUAUGGUUCAUGUGACCAAUUCAAUCCAGGGAUUCCUUACAAUCCGGAAGUUGGAAAGAAACCAAAUAACACUUAAGAUGCGGAAUGGACAAGAACUAUUUGUCGAAGAUGUGGGAACCUUAGAAUUACUUAUGAAAACUGGAAAAUGUAUUAAACUUUAUGAUACCUUAUAUAUUCCUGAGAUUACUCGGAAUCUUGUAUCAGGACCAAAGUUAGACAUUGAUGGUUUUUAUGUUUCCCAUGGUCAUGGCAAACUUACUAUUUCUUUAAAUUCUCAAUUGUUUGGUACUAGUUUUCUGGAUAACGGUCUCUAUAAGUUAGAACUAGAUGAUAGCUUCUCCAAAUCUUUGUUAUCAUAUAAUAUUAAUGAGAACUUAACAAAGACUAAGAGAAAACGAGACUUAGAAACUUCAUCCAUGUUGUGGCAUCAACGUUUAGGCCACAUUUCACGAGAUCGCUUAUCUCGACUUGUGAAGGAUGAAGUCUUACCAUCUCUCGACUAAUUUUGGAACAUAUGUCAAAUGCCUCAAAGGCAAAAUAACAUCCACGACUAAGAAAGGUGCCACUAGGAGUUCAAAAUUAUUAGAACUUAUUCAUACUGACAUUAGUGGCCCUUACAACAUCGUUGGAAUAACAGGACAUAAUUCAUUUAUCACUUUUAUAGAUGAUUAUUCUUGUUACAUGUACUUGUAUCUCAUUAAGGAAAAAUCUGAAUCACUUACAACUUUUAAAGAUUAUAAAACUGAAGUUGAAAAACAACUUGAUCUUCAAAUAAAAAUUGUGCAAUCAGAUAGAGGAGGUGAAUACUAUGGUAGACAUACUGAUUUGGGACAAGCCCCUGGUCCAUUUUAUGAGUUUUGUAAAAGCCAGGGGAUUGUGAACCAAUACACCAUGCCCGAUACUCCUCAACAAAAUAGUGUUGCUGAAAGGAGAAACAAGACCCUAAUGAACAUGGUGCGUAGUAUGUUAGCCAACUCCAAUUUGCCCUUAUUCCUCUGGACCGAGGCAUUAAAAGCAGCAGUUCAUAUACUCAAUAGAGUUCCUUCCAAAUCUGUCCCUAAAACUCCUUAUGAACUUUGGACUGGAAGGAAAUCGAGUCUUAGAUAUAUGAAAGUAUGGGCUUGCCUUGCUGAAGCUAAAGUUUAUAACCCUUUCUUAAAGAAGCUUGACAUGAAAACAGUAACUUGUCACUUCAUCGGGUAUCCCGAUCACUCAAAGGGUUAUAGAUUUUAUUGUCCUUCCCACGUCACCCGCAUUGUAGAAACCAAGUAUGCUCAUUCCCUAGAGGAUUUCAAAAUCAGUGGGAGCAGUGACAAUCCUUACCUGGAUUUACUAGAAGUACAAGAGGCGGGGGGAAAUCCACAUCAACUACUAAUUUGCCUCUGAUCACUCCUCUUGUAACCACUUCGCGCGUCACUGCACCACCUACUCCACGCUCAGAACCUGAUGCUACUCUAAAUCCAUCCGAGAAUGAAGGCACCCUGAACAACAAACAUCAGUACAAUGCAGAACCCGCUAAUCAGCUCAGGAGGUCAUCUAGAACUAAAACUGCUACUAAUUUUGAUGAUCAUGUAACCUACUUGACUGAAGCAGAAAUGGAUGUCGGAAGGUAUAUUGACCCUACCUCUUACAAUGAAGCCAUUACUAGUGCUCAGUUUUCUGAAUGGAAUAAUGCCAUGCUCGAUGAGCUUGAUUCCAUGAAGAAAAACAAUGUUUGGGAUCUAGUAGAAUUACCCGACGGAGUAAAACCCGUAGGAUCUAAAUGGGUGUUCAAAACCAAGCUAGAUCAUAAUGGAAACAUUGAAUGCUUCAAAACAAGAUUGGUUGCAAAAGGGUUCACUCAGAAAGAGUGAAUUGAUUAUCAAGAGACCUUUUCACCUGUCUCUCGAAAAGAUUCCUUAAGGAUCGUAAUGACCCUCGUAGCUCACUUUGAUCUAGAUCUACAUCAGAUGGACGCAAGACCGCUUUCCUUAACGGCGACUUGUAUGAAGACGUGUACAUACAACAACCAGAAGGUUUUAAACCUGAAGGUCAAGAACACCUAGUCUGCAAGCUGAAGAAAUCCAUUUACGGGCUGAAGCAAGCCUCACGGCAGUGGUACAUAAAGUUUGAUGAAGUUAUGAAGAAACAAGGUUUCCUUAAGAAUCAAGUGGAUCAAUGCACCUACCUCAAGAUGAGUGGGAGAAACUUUACUAUACUUGUCCUUUACGUAGAUGACAUUCUAUUGACAAGUAAUAGUAUAGACAUGUUGCAUGAGUCAAAGCGCAUACUUUCGCAUAAUUUUGACAUGAAGGAUCUCGGAGAGGCUGCUUAUGUUAUUGGCAUCGAAAUAUACCGAGAUAGAGCUAAGGGGAUUUUGGGAUUAUCCCAAAGGGCCUACCUUGACCGUGUCCUCACUCAUUAUAACAUGCAGCAUUGNNNNNNNNNNNNNNNNNNNNNNNNNNNNNNNNNNNNNNNNNNNNNNNNNNNNNNNNNNNNNNNNNNNNNNNNNNNNNNNNNNNNNNNNNNNNNNNNNNNNAUACCUUAUGCAUCUGUAGUUGGAAGCAUUAUGUAUGCUCAAGUCUGUACUCGUCGGAUAUCGUGUACAUUGCUGGAAUGCUAGGCGGGUAUCAAUCUAAUCCUGGUCUAGAUCACUGGAAAGCAGCUAAGAAAGUACUUCGAUAUCUACAAGGCACAAAAGACUAUAAGUUGACCUAUAGGAGAAGUGACAAUUUAGAAGUGGUGGGUUAUUCUAACUCUGAUUUUGCAAAAUGCAAAGAUGACAAGAAAUCCACUUCUCGGUAUAUCUUUAUGUUAGCAGGCGGGCCUAUCUCAUGGAAGAGUCAUAAGCAGCAAUUAACAACAACCUCAACAAUGAUGGCAGAAUAUGUUGCAGUGUACAAUGCAACUUGUCAUGGAAUGUUGUUGCGAAAUCUUAUCGCUGGACUCAAAGUCAUUAACUCCAUUUCCAGGCCAUUGAAGCUUUAUUGUGAUAACUCAACUGCCGUUAGUUUUUCGAACAAUAACAGUUCGAGUGGCGCUGGAUUAUAUCUUGAUACAAAGUACUUGUUCGUACGUGAGCGAGUUGAGGAAAAUAAGUUUUGUGUUGAGUAUAUUAGUACUAAAAAUAUGCUUGAGGAUCUGAUGACUAAAGGUCUCCCACCUAAAGUAUUCGAAGAACAUGUUUCGAAGAUGGGAUUAUCUAAAGACCUUAUUUAGCAUAUUUGUACUUACUUAUGUUUAAUAAAAUUUCCUCAUUUACCUUGAUUUGUGUGUCCUUAAAUAUGUUUAUGCAUGCCUAAAUAUACAUAGACACUAACUGUACAAAUCAAAGUCUAAAGGGCUUACUUAUCAAUUGAUCCUAAAAUUUACUUAAGUUUUAAAUUUGUAUUGUAGUAUGAUUAAUGGGGGUCUUGAGUUGAAUAUUGAUUCAAAGACUGUAUUUCUCUGCUACAAUUACAGUUUAGGACUAAAAUGAGUAUUAAAAUCUGGCCAGACUUAUCUAAUGCUCAUAAUAAAUAAUCCUUUGGCCAAGUGGGAGAAUGUAAGAAUAUUAUGUGGCACCUCACGAUUAUUUAUCUUAUUAAUUGAUCAAUUACCAUAAUUAUCCUAUUAUAUUAUUGGUAAUUACUUGAUGGACGUAAUUACUAUUACCAUAAAUAAUUAGGGUUUCCCCUUGGGUGUAUUAUAAAAAUAGAGAUUACCAAACAACUAAAAGGACACCCUCAUAUUCUAACAUCACACGGCCGAAACUCAUUCCUUAAAGGGAUUUUCGAGCCUCUCAUCUCUUUGUCUCUCUACUCACAUAAUUCCAUUCUAAACGAUACACCCUAAAGGGGAACCCGAUCAAGAUCAUGUCUUUGUCCUGAGUCGGACGAUCACGGGUCUACCAGGGGAACCCAAUCAAGAUCAUGUCUUCGUCCCUCAGCCAUACGAUCACGGGUCUACCAGGUAUUAUUUAAUCAUUAUUCUCAUUUCAUUAUAUGUUUGAGGAAUCCUAAUCCAACAGUUAGAACAACUAGAUCAUCUCUUUUUAUCUGUCAUUGGAUGUUCUUUUUUCCUUCUCUCACAUUGUUGUGUUGAUAUGUUGUCUUUUCUUAAUGAGCAAUCAUAUAGUGACAUCUUACUCCAUUAUACAACUUCUUAUUAAUGAUAUAAAAAAAUGUAUUUUUGUCAUUUCAUGUAAAAUUUGAAAUUUUAAGCAUAGAUAGAAGGUUAGAUAGAAGGUUGUAUAGUGGAGCAAUAUAUUUUUCUUUCUUAUAGGCACUUGGGCAUAUAUAUGUUCAGCUUGGUUAAAGUGAAAAAAGGGCAUGACUUUAUUAGGAGAGCUACAAAAAUUGAUUCUGGAUGCCCACGUGAAUGCUUCUAGAACACCGUUUGCAUAAAUAUUUUUAACUAUUUAGUGUUUUGUGUUGUGCAAUAUAAUAUUUAUAAUAUUUGUUACACUUGUUUGAUUACUUGUUGAGUUUGGAAAACUUUAUUAGGUUUAAGUUGUUAUUUAUGUCUUUAUUUGAGUUAGUGGGGAUAUUUAGUAUUUUUUUUUUCUAAAUAUGAGAUUAUAUAUAUUUGAAUAAAAAUUGUCAUUUGUUUUGUCUCUUUUGUUUUUGGUGAAGUAUUUUUUUUCCAAUUAAUAUUGUUGUUAGCUCUUCCUUUUUCUGAUGUGAUUCUUAUUUUUUGGUAUAUAAUUUCAUUAAUUAAAAUUUAAUAGAUUUCGAAUUGAUUCCUUUGGUGUUGCUAAAAGUGAAAAAAUUGAUAAUUGAACUAACAUUUUUUAUAUAGUUUCAGUUUUUGGUUGUUCUUGAAAAAGAUUCAUUGUAUUGCAGACAUUUCUUGAGCUGAGAGAAUUAUUAAUUCUUUCUGACACAUGAGCUGCACUAGAUGCAUUCAAAACUGUAAUGAAUUAAGAGUUUAUCAUAUGUUCUCUUUUUGGUUUGAAAUUUUUAUAAUUUAUCAUAUGAAUAGACUUUUAAAGUUUCAUAAUUUGUUAUGAUAUAGAUAUUGUAAUUGUGGUCCAGGCUCAGACUCUUUUUAAGAAAGGAGGUCAAGAAGUACCAAUUGAAUUACUAAAUAAUGUUUAUAAGAAAAUGAUAAAUAAAAAAAUGGUAAGAAGAAGAAAUGUUUCUUAUUCUCUUAUGUGUAUUUUACAUCACUUCAUGUAUAGGAAAUAUAUAGGGAUUUUCUCUCCCCCAAAUUACAAUCUAAUUAGGUAGGAUACUAAUCAUGGGAUUCUAUAAUUAUUAAAUUAAUUGCAUAUAAUUGGGUACAAUAUCGUCAAAUAUUGCAUACAAUAAUUGCAUAUAAUUUGAUAAUUAUUAUUUCCUUAAUACUCCCCCUCAAGUUGGUAGGUGAAGAUCAAGAACCCCCAACUUGUGUCGUAGCGUCAAAAGUCGUUCCUUGCCCAAUGCCUUCGUAAAAAUAUCUGCGAGCUGAUACUGUGUUGGUACAUAGGAAGGGGUUUGCUGCUAUAUGUAAUGUCGUUUGAUUGUCUCAGAAAGGUUGAGCUGGCAAGUUACAUGUCACUUUUAAAUCCUGCAACAUAUAUUAUUACGAAGUGGACUUUAAGCCUAACUCAACCCCAUAAAACCGGCUCAUAGGGUUGAGGUUUGCACCCACUUAUAUACAAUGAAAGGCUCUAAUCUCUAGUCGAUGUGGGAUCUCCAACACACCCCCCUCACGCCGAGACUACCAACUCGUGCGUGGGACUAUAUAUUUUGGGUGGUCCGAUAGCGGCCCGAUAGCGGGUGGCACGAUAGGCCCAACACAAACACUCGCUAGGAUAGGCUCGAAAUGACUCUGAUACCAUAUUACGAAGUGGACUUUAAGCCUAACUCAACCCCAUAAAACCGGCUCAUAGGGUUGAGGUUUGCACCCACUUAUAUACAAUGAAAGGCUCUAAUCUCUAGUCGAUGUGGGAUCUCCAACAUAUAUCGCAACCAAACUAUCUCCAAACAAGUAUUCGUCAUUGCGCGGUAUUCUGCUUCCGCUGAUGAUCUUGAUACGUUUGUCUGUUUUUUUGCCAUGAGAUAAUAGAGGAACCAAGAAAAAUGCAAUACCCAGAUACUGAUCUCCGAGUUGUCUGACAACCUCCCCAGUUUGAGUCGCAAUAAGCUGUCAUUGUCAAAUUGUUUUCGGAUGGCAAUAGCAAUCCUUGUCCUAGUGAUCCUUUGAUGUACUUUAGGACUCGAAUUGCGGCAUUCCGUGGAUCCUGUAUAUAUUGACUUAGGGCCCGAACCGAAAAUUCUAUGUCAGGCCGAGUAACCGUGAGGUAUAUCAGUCGUCCCACGAGUCGCCUGUAUUUGAAUGGAUCCUUUAAUAACUCUCCCUCGUCUGGUGUGAGUUUUAGGUAUUGUUCCAUUGGAAAUUUGUCUGGACGAGCACCUGUGAGUCUCGUAUCCUGCAAAAUAUCAAGCGCAUAUUUUCUUUGGGACAUGUAAAUACCAGCUUUGGAACGGGAAAAUUCAAUCCCUAGAAAAUAUUUUAGGUCUCCUAGAUCUUUAAUGCGAAAUUGUUGUAAUAAACAAUCUUUAACACGUUGAAUUUCUGUCAAAUCAUUUCCUGUCAAAAGAAUAUCAUCCACAUAAAUCAAAAGGGCAGUGAAUGAUGAGUUAUUAUGUCUUGUGAAUAGAGAGUAAUCUGUCUUGGACUGUUGAAAUCCUACAGAUUUAAUCACACGAGAAAAUGUUGAAAACCAUGUUCGAGAUGCUUGUUUGAGACCAUAAAGGGAUUUGUUGAGUCGACAUACAAUGUCCUCCCCCUGUCGAUGAUGCCCGGGUGGCAAGUCCAUGUAAAUAAUUUCAUGCAAUGUGCCAUGUAAGAAGGCAUUUUGCACAUCUAGCUGGUGAGUAAACCAAUUUCUGGCUGCUGCAAUGGUGAGGAGACACCUUAAAGUUGUUAAUUUUGCUGUUGGUGAAAAAGUUCCAUAAUAGUCGACACCUUCAAUCUGAGUGUACUCCUUUGCGACAAGGCAAGCCUUAUACCUGUCGACGCUACCAUCUGAGUUGUACUUUAUUUUAUAGACCCAUUUGCAUCCGAUGGGUUUCUGCCCAGCGGGUAACAGUGUCAAGGCCACGUUUGAUUUAGGUGCAAGGCGGAAAGCUCUUCGUCCAUUGCUUUUUGCCAAUUUGGAUCAAGGAUAGUUUGAGCAUAAGUGUGAGGUUCUUUGGUGGCUGUGAUGUUAGCAAUAUAUGCACUAUGUGUAGAAGAAAAUCGUGAAUUAGAAAGAAAAUGAUGCAUAGGAUACCUGGUUCCAUUCGGUCGGUCUUGGGCAGUGGUCGAAUGAUUGGCUUGGGAUCCCGUUACGUCGAACAGGAAGGUCGGUUGGAGAAGGUUUGGUAAUGGGUGAUAAGUGUCUAAUUUCAGUAAUAUUUCAUAUUAAAAUAUAGGCACUUAUGAGGAUUUAUUGUUAAUUUACAUAUAAAAUAAUCCAUUUACGAAUUUAUACCUUUUUACAUUUUUUAUGAUCUUUAUUUGAAUAAGAGUAUUUUAUUCCCAAAUUUGGUGUUAAUUGCAGAUUUCUAAGGAAGAUUGGAGAUUUGGAUUAAAGAUAAAUGAUUUGAGCUAAAAAGAUAAAGAUAGAAGGUCCUAGAAUGGAAAAAAAGAUGCAAAGAAAGAUUGGGCCUUUUUUAUGUUUUAUCAUUUAGCCCAUUAGCGCGACAUAGGAAACAACCUAACCCUAGAAAAUUAGGAUAAAUAGAGGGCUAGAGGCUCAACCUUAAGGUGCCAGAUUGAGAGGAAAACACCAUAGAGUGAAUUGUAACCCAAUUGGGAGAAUGGAAGGUGCUAGAAGUANNNNNNNNNNNNNNNNNNNNNNNNNNNNNNNNNNNNNNNNNNNNNNNNNNNNNNNNNNNNNNNNNNNNNNNNNNNNNNNNNNNNNNNNNNNNNNNNNNNNNNNNNNNNNNNNNNNNNNNNNNNNNNNNNNNNNNNNNNNNNNNNNNNNNNNNNNNNNNNNNNNNNNNNNNNNNNNNNNNNNNNNNNNNNNNNNNNNNNNNNNNNNNNNNNNNNNNNNNNNNNNNNNNNNNNNNNNNNNNNNNNNNNNNNNNNNNNNNNNNNNNNNNNNNNNUUCUUAUAAUUAUGCGAGGGAUCGAUAGUUAGGGAACAUUCUUAAGGAUUUUAUAUGCGAGGAAUCGAUAUAAAUGAUUUUUAUACAGGCAUCAAUUUCAAUUAAAGAACUUAAUAUUGACAUGCUAAUCAAAAUACAUGAGAGGGAGAGAGAUGAAACCUAAUCCCUAUUUUUCCAAUUGAAACAAUUAAUUCUUUGUUUGUUUUCUUAUUGAUCAUCGCCAACACAACCACUUUCAAUAUACUUUUAAUUGUUUUGUUCUAUAUUUAGCGAUUAUUGUACUUGAUAAUUCACUGUUCCUUGUGGAAUCGAUAUCCGUCCUUAGGGACAAUUAUUACUUCUGACAAACGCGGUGCACUUGCCGUAAAAAGUCAUCAAUGGGUGCUAAACUUCUUGGCAUGGAAGAAGAAGGUUGGUCUACUGGAGGUUCAUGUGUAUUAUGACGAGUAGGAGAAGAAGGUUGGUUUGAUGGAGGUUCAGGUGCAUUGUGACGAGUAGGAGAAGAGAGUUGGUUUGAUGGAGGUUCAGGUGCAUUGUGACAAGUAGGAGAAGAAGGUUGGUUUGAUGGAGGUUCAGGUGCAUUGUGAUGAGUAAGAGAAGAAGGUUGAUCAAGUGAAUGUUGGACAGGAGUGGGUAAGUCAAUGUCAAUAGUGGGCAAAAUACCUUGUAAUGGAGGUGAGGAUUGUGUCUGUGACUGUUGGCAGUAUGGGAAAACACUUUCAUUGAGAUGACAUCCCGACUUGUAAAAAAAGUGCAUGCAUCUAUAUCAAAUAAUUUGUAUGCUUUUUUACUGUGAGGAUAACCAAUGAAGAUGCAUUGUCGGGUGCGCGAAUCAAAUUUUUGCUUAGGUGAAACAACAGUUGCGUAACAGAGGCAACCAAAAGUUUUUAGGUCAGAAAGUGAACGUGGUUGAUUAUAUAAUAGCUCAAAAGGUGAUUUAUUUUUUAGUAAAGGUGAUGGCAAGCGAUUAAUGAUAUAUGUGGCGGUUAAAACGCAUUCUCCCCAAAAUUCUAAUGGUAAAUUGGAUUGAAAUAGGAGGGCUCGUGCUGUGUUUAAAACAUGUCUAUGUUUUCGUUCUACUACUCCAUUUUUUGAGGAGUGUAGACGCAAGUGCGUUUACAUUCAAUACCUUUUCUGAGAAAAAAAUCAUACAUUGAAAUAAAUUCCAGUCCGUUGUCAACGUGGAUGGUUUUAAUAGAUGCCUGAAAUUGAUUUUGUGCAAAUGUAAUGAAUGACUCUAAGAGAUGUUGGGUUUCAUAUUUGUGAUUCAUAAGAAAUAGCCAAGUGCAUCUAGUAUAGUCAUCGACUAUAGUGAGAAAAAAACGUUUUCCAAAAUGAGUUGGGGUUUUAUGAGGACCCCAAAUGUCACAAUGCAAUAGAUUAAAUGGAGAAUGAGAUUUUAUUGUGCUUAAAGGAAAGGGUAGCCUUGUCUAUUUAGCUUUGGAACAAAUACUACAAUUAUUAUGAAUGGGAAUGAGAUUUUUACUGAUAGGGAUAGGUAGUAAGGAAGAUACAAGUUGUAGACACGCCGGAGAAGGAUAUCCAAGGCGCUUAUGCCAUAAAUCAGGANNNNNNNNNNNNNNNNNNNNNNNNNNNNNNNNNNNNNNNNNNNNNNNNNNNNNNNNNNNNNNNNNNNNNNNNNNNNNNNNNNNNNNNNNNNNNNNNNNNNNNNNNNNNNNNNNNNNNNNNNNNNNNNNNNNNNNNNNNNNNNNNNNNNNNNNNNNNNNNNNNNNNNNNNNNNNNNNNNNNNNNNNNNNNNNNGAAAGAACAUCUUUGAGAGUGAUUUUGUCAUUGAAUUUAAUUGUGCCUGUAGAUGAGAUGGGCGCAGUUGAGCCUGUAGGCAGAUUAACAUUUGAAAUAAAUGAUGAUGAAGUGUGUGUGAAAAAAUGUGAAUCAGAUGCAAUGUGAUCGGUUGCUCCGCUAUCCAAAAUCCAUGGUUUCGUAAAAGCAGAAUUAGAAAAGGAGUUAUGGGCAAGCAGACCUGCAGAGCUAACAAACGUGUCACUUUUACCGUUAUUGUUGAGCGAGUAAAUAGUCCUUGCUGAAUUUGCUCGGCAUUGAAGCGUUGUACGAGGUUUCUAUCGGCUUCAUUAUUGGUGCCUUCUUUGCCAUACAUGAUUUUUUAUUUAGGGGAUAAAAAUGGAGAGGCUGUCAGGGCACCAAGAUCGGUGCUCUGAUACCAUAUAAGAAAAUGAUAAAAAAAUGGUAAGAAGAAGAAAUGUUUCUUAUUCUCUUAUGUGUAUUUUACAUCACUUCAUGUAUAGGAAAUAUAUAGGGAUUUUCUCUCCCCCAAAUUACAAUCUAAUUAGGUAGGAUACUAAUCAUGAGAUUCUACAAUUAUUAAAUUAAUUGCAUAUAAUUGGGUAUAAUAUCGUCAAAUAUUGCAUACAAUAAUUGCAUAUAAUCGUCAAGAAGUACCAAUUGAAUUACUAAAUAAUGUUGGUACGCCUCAGUUUGAAAGGAUUUAAGUUUGAUUUUUUUUAGUUGUAACUUAUAUGUUGCUCUUUUUUCUCAACAUAAUAGAUGUUGGAUAGUUGAAUUUAGAAGGAGAAAAUAUUAAUUUUAUUAUUCAAUAAUGAAAAUAUAGUGCUACUAUAAGGACUAUUUAACAAUAUUGUUUGAGAGAAUGUAGUUUUUAGAUUUUGCCUAUCAUCCAUAUGUACAAACUUUUGAUUUAUUUGAAUAAACUUUAAGUUUUUGUUUUUAUAUUAACUUUUCCAAAAGCUUUUGUUUAUUUAUUUUUUAUUUUUGCAUAAGGUAGUCUUAGCUUAUUAAAAAUCUUAUUGCAUUUUUUUUUCUUUUAUAAGUGUUCACAGAAAAAUUUAUCCAAACAACAUAAUUGUAUUAGAAUUGUAGUAAAUGUAGAAUAUCAAUGUAGAAUAGGUUAUUAGAUAUAAGUAAAUCUGCAUUAGCUAAAAAAGAAAACAUUAUCUAAAUUUUUUUAAAUGAUAGCAUUGUUUAUUUUCAUAAAUUUUGUUUGAUAAAAGUUAUCAAUAUAAUAAAUUUACUUUUUUAUAAUAAAAAUCAAACCUAAAUAUUUAUGUUUAUUAUUCUAACAUCAAUCACUAAAUGAAUCUUAAUGAAUAAGAUGAAUGAUUUAGUAAGUUAUAUGUAUUUCUUAUAUCAAUAUAAUUAUUUGGUAUUAAUACGAAAUUAUACCUAUAUAGUAUUAUGAAACCCCGAAAAGUAAAUAAAACAAAGUUGAAGGGUAGUAAUGCAUUAAUGUUAGAUGGUAGAAGAAGAACAAAGGGUCUGAGAAAAUUGUUGGACUAUUUUGGUUCGACAUUUUUAUUAUUUAUCACCUACUUUUUUUAUAUAUACACCUCUUAGAAGUAAUGGAGGGUUUGAAAACUGCCGGUUAUAAUGGGGGCUUGAAAACCAUCGAGAAUAACGGGGAUUUUCAAAAUCACCGGAAAUAUUGGGAGUUUUUAAAUCGCCGGGAGUAAUGGGGAUUUCCUUAAAAGUAAUUAUUUUCUAGGAGUUUGUAAAAACCGUCGGUAAUCCGUUAGCGACGCUGGAUCUACCAGGAGAAAAGCAAACCAUGGAUAACGUACUUAACAAAGGCUAAAACCAUUGAAAAUAUAAAAAAUAACCCAGUUAAAAAUAAUUUUUUCCUACACCAUACCACUACACCUGAUUUCAACGGAAAGACGAAAAUGUCCUAAAAGAAUGAGGUGCAUAUAAAAUUACCUUCCGGACUCCAUUUUCUGGAAUAUGUGUUCCGUAUUUCUUUUUCCAGAAUAAAUUUUUUGAAUUACAAAAUUUCUUAUUCGGAAUGGGCUUUUCAUUUUUUUUCUGGAUUUUCAUUUUCGGAACACAAUAAUCACUCUUCUGGAUAUUCUUUUCUAAAAUGUAUUAUUUCAAUUCUGGAUUUUAUUAUCUGUAAUAGAAUUUUGAUUUUUGUUUUCAGAUUUUUAUUUCCUAAAUUCAACAACCUCUUCCGGAUUUAUUUUUCCAGAAUAUAUUAUUUUCAAUUCCGAAUUUUAUUUCCAAAAUAAAGGGUAUUUUUGGAAAUUAAAAUAAUAUGUUGGGUGCAGGUUAAAAAUGAUUGGGUGUAAGAAGCAUUUGCCUUGAAAAUAUACAGGUGCCGGAGACUUAAACCAAUAGGGUUUCAGCGGUGUAGCUUGGGCCUAAGAAUGGUUUGGGCUCGUGACCAAAUUCUUAUUUACUCCUGCUAUUUACAAUUCCAUAUUCUACUAAAUGCACCUCUUUAAAUCUUUUUUUAUUUAAAAUGAUAUGUUUACUUUCAUUUGAUUUUUUUUUUGUUUCAUGCUCUAAAAAAUGUGUUAGAGAAAAGUGUUUAGAGGAGUAUGUUUUAGAACACUCUACAUCUCAGCAAGUAUUCGUCGGAAAAAAUCUUCAUUUUCAUGUUUUGAAAAGUACCUUUGUAAAUAUUCAAAAAAUAAUUUUUUUCUACAUAAUGUAUUCUGAAAUGUAAAAAGAGUGUUACGAAAAUUAAAAUUAGUUCUUUACAUAUUCUGAAACAUUUUGGAAUACAUUUUUGUUUCAUAGCAUUUGAAAAUUACUUUCUCAAACAUUUGUUUUCUUAAUAUUCUGAAAAUUACUUUCUCAAACAUAAAAAUAAAAGAAUAUUAUGAAAAGGAUAAACAAAUAAUUCUCAAGCACCUUUGUUAAUCUCUUUUAACAUUUCAAAAUACAAACUAAAAUACAUUUUAUUUUCUUAAAAGAAAGUAUUUCCCAUAAUAUAAAUCAAGGAAUAGAAAAUAAAGAUAAAUAUAUUAUUGAAAUAAAAGAAUUAAAAUGAGUUAUAAUAUAAUGUAAUAGUUAUUAAAAUUCUCUCCUUCCCCCUCAUAAUUUUUAUUGCGCUAAAAUAUAUUGAGUAUAAAAUGUUACCACUAGUGCAAAAAGAAGAAAAUGAUACUCUUUAUUUAGUGUGGCUUUUGCGCUACCCGCUUUCAUAAAAAACGCGGUGGCAUUUUUGAAAUUAUUUUGAUUUACGAAUGCAGCUAUUUGUAUAGCUGCACUUGUAAAUCAAAGCGCUUGAUUUACGAAUGCGGCUAUUUGUAUAUAAAUCAAAGCGUUUGAUUUACGAAUGUGGCUAUUUGUAUAGUCGCAUUCGUAAAUCAAAACUCUUUGAUUUACGAAUGUGGUUUUACCUUUAGCCGCAUUCGUAAAUCCUUUUUUACCCUAAAUUUUAAGCACGCCACACACAAUUUCAUACUUUCUUUCUCGUCUUUGCCUUCGUUUCGCGUUCACACUCUGAGUUCGUCUCCUUCUGCUGCAUCUGCAUUCCAUUUGUGCAAUGUAAGUUCUUGAGCUCUCUUUCUUCCUCUUCAUCUUCACAAAUAUAUGCAUAGAUGUUUUCGUUUUUCUUAUAUAUGUUUUUUUCCUUGCAUUGGUGGUCUCGAAGCAUUGUUUCGUUGGCUGGCAUUCGUUUUUCUUACAUUGUUUGAUUUCUUGCAUUGCUCAAUACUCUUUCAUUGUCUUCAUGGGUUCUUGUGGAUUUUUUGGUUUGCUCCGUUGCUGCUUCCCUGUCCGCUGUCGCUUCUGAUGCCGCCACCGUUGUUGGCCCUCCCGUGACUCUUCAUCAACGUUGCCUUCACACAAGAUUGACGAUGUUUUAAAAUUUUUAAUUUUUUUUUAAUGAUUUGGCAUGUACAAGUGCGGCUAAAACAAAUAGCCACACUUGAAAAUUGUAUUUAUAAAUGCGGCUAUAUAGCCGCAUUUGUAUUUCUUGAUUUACAAGUGCGUGUUGAUCAAAUGCGACUAUAAAGCCGCAUUUAUAAAUUCGAAAUAGUCGCACUUGUUUAUGUUUCUGCACGAGUGUACCUUUAUCAAUUAAUAAUUUUAUAUAUACUACAAGAAAAUCAAAUCAUGAAAUAGAAACCAAUUUUUAGAGACAAAAAAUAAUUAGUUGCUAUAGUAAUUAAAUUAGAAAUCAUUUUAGAGACAAAAAAAAUGUUGGUUUCUAAAUUAGUUUAUAUUAUUGUUAAAUGGUUUCUAAAUUAGUAUCUAGUUAGAAACCAAUGUUUUUGCUACCAAAUUUAGAAACUAAAUAAUUGGUAGUUAAAACAUUGUUAGCUAAUUAGAUACAAAUUUAGAAACCAUUUAACAAUAAUAAAAACUAAUUUAGAAACCAAUUUUUUUUAUUUUCUAGAAUGGUCUCUAAUUUAGUUACUAUAACAACUAUUAUUUUUGGUAUCUAAAAUUUGUUUCUAUUUUAUGUUUUUCUUGUAGUGAUAAUUAUUUUAUCCAUUCAUAUAAAAUGUUAAAAUUGAAACAUAAUAAUAAAAUUAUUAAAAAAAUUAUCUUUUAAUAUAUUUUAAAAUAUAUUCCGUGUUAUUAAAAAGAGAUAUGAAAUUAAUUUAAAUUUUUUAACUACAAUCUAUAUUAAAAGAACUUUAAAUUUAAUUAAUUGUAAGCUUUUAGAAAUUAUAAUGCGAUUAAAACUAUUCAAUAAUGUAAUAUUUAGUAUAAGCUAAGCUAUAUAUAAUAAUGUAAUAUUUAGUAUAAGCUAAGCUAUAUAUAUAUAUAUGUAUAGUUUACUAUUCACAUAGAUCCACUUUUAUGGGACCACUUUUCGUAAUUGAGAAGGUUUGGGACUAUUUAAUGUCUGUUUUGGUUUGACUACCUUAAUCUUUAAUCAAAUUGGUUGAAAUAUUUUUAUCAGUGGUGUAAUUCAAAUAUAAAAUAACAUUAAUAAAUUUGAUUUCAUAUCUAAAAAGAUAAAAUAUAGCUAGUAUCGUUAAUAAAUUUUACAUUUAUUUAAUCUGAAACUACUUAUAUAAUGCAUGGCAAAUUACUAUGUGAGUAAGACCCAUAAUGGUAGUGUUAUGGAACUGAGUAAUACUUUGGACUCCAAGAAAAAGAAGCAAAUAGUGUGACCAAAAACUCAUCUAUGGAUGCUGCUGGUGCAACCCUUUUGGGUUACAUCUUCUCCUCCUCCUUGGCUUUCCUUCUUCUCACUCUACUUAUAUAAUGCAUUUUACGAACCAAAAAUGGCAGUGUUUCUCCACCAUCUCCACCCAUCAUCGGUCAUCUCCACCUUGUGGGUUCCGUCAUACCGAAAUCAUUCCAAGCUCUGGCUCGCCGUUAUGGCCCUCUCAUUCAGCUCCGUUUAGGUGCCUCAACAUGCGUAGUUGUCUCCAACGCCCAAGUCGCUAAACAAGUCAUGAAAGCACAUGACCUCAAUUUCUGUAACCGACCCCAGUUUGGAUCCUCAGAGAACUACUUAUACAAAGACUCUGAUUUCAUCACUGUCCCAUAUGGUCCUUAUUGGCGCUUCAUCAAAAAGCUUUGCGUUACUCAACUUCUCUCCACCACGCAGCUUGGGCGCUUACGGCACAUCCGCCAGCAGGAGAUAGAGAAGCUCUUGAAAUCUCUCCUGGAGUGUUCCUCUGAAGGCAGGGAAACGGAUUUGAGCCGUGAUCUUACUGCUUUGACCAACAAUGGCCUGUGUCGGAUGGCCAUGAGUACGACCUGUUUGGACCACAAUGAUGGUGAUGAUAUUAUUGGCCUGGUGAUGGAGUUUAUGGACUUGGCAGCCAAGUUGAGCAUAGGUGAUGUGUUGGGACCUUUGGGAAAGUUUGACUUGUUUGGGUAUGGGAAGAAGCUUGUCAGAAUAGUUGGUAAAUUCGACGGGAUUUUGGAGCGCAUCUUACAGGAACAUGAAGCGAACAACUCCGAAAGAGGGGACAUGAUGGAUAUUCUAUUGCGAGUCCACAAAGAUCCAAAUGCUGAGAUGAGGUUAACAAGGAAUGAUAUCAAGGCCUUCUUCCUGGUAAGUUCUUAUCUUUUGCCUUGGACAUUCACUGUUUUUAUGUAAAAAAGUUUCACAUUUUUAGAACUUAGACUCAGUUUAUAAAACCAAUUUUCAUAGUUUAUUGCCAAAAAAGAAAGUGUAAGGUAGCACAGGAGUAGAGUAGAAAAGUGACUAUAGUUUUUGUGGUGUGUUGCAAGGAUAUUUUCCUAGCGGGAACAGACACGACUUCAACAGCGUCCCAAUGGGCCAUGGCAGAAAUCAUGAACAACCCAGGAGUGUUGACGAAGAUGAGGGCAGAGAUUGAUGAAGUAGUGGGUUCUAGCAGGUUGGUCAUUGAAUCAGACCUUCCAAAUCUACCUUAUCUCCAAGCUGUUGUGAAGGAAGUGCUAAGACUCCACCCUACGGCACCGUUCAGUCUUAGAGAAUCAGCAGAGGAGUGCACCAUCAAUGGGUAUGAUAUAAAGGGCCAGACACGGACACUGAUCAAUGUGUACGCCAUCAUGCGAGACCCAGAAGAGUGGGCGAACCCAGAGGAGUUUAUACCAGAAAGGUUCUUGGUAGACGACAGUGAUGUGACAAAGGGUGGUGAUUUCAGGUACCUUCCAUUUGGAUCUGGGAGGAGGGGAUGCCCUGGAUCUUCACUUGCCUUAACGGUUAUACAAGGGACAGUUGCAUCAUUGAUCCAAUGUUUUGAUUGGAAGACGAAAGGGGGAGAGAGGGUUUGUUUGGAAGAAGGAUCAUCAUUUUCUACAGGAUUGGCAAAGCCACUUCUUUGUUAUCCUGUUACUCGUUUUAAUCCUUUUUAAUUCUACACUGCUGUUAUCUCUAUCAAAAGUAGUGUUCUGUCAUCUACUAUGAUGUUGUUUUUAGGUUCAUCAUCUACUCAUUCACCAUUCGUGUUGUUUGUUACCACUGUUGUCAUAUAAUGAGGUCUCUCAUUCUGCAUUGUGCAUUGUGCUGUCUUCAAUUAAUUAACCAACUAAAAGAAGAAAUAAAAAAGAACAUUCGUUUUUAAUUACUUAAUAUCUUUGUUUCAUAGUUUAGUAAAAAAACGUAAUUACUUGAAAAAUAAAAACUUUAGAUUUAAAAGUUAUUUUAUUAUUUUAAACUGAAAAAAUACUUUUAUAUUAAAAUUUAUUGAAUACAGUCAGAUCUAGCUUAAAGAAAUUGUAUCAGUUUGGUUGGACUCAUACUUUUAUGAUCAAAAAGUCUAGUUUCAUCCAAUCCUAUAUUGGAUAAAUUUUUUAUUCAAAUUAAGUACACAAAUAAAAUUAAUUUAAUUUAAUAUAUACCUACAUUCAUUUAGAUUGUUGGUUGAAUGGACUGAGCUAAAAUUAACCUACUUCAAAAUUCCUAAAGUAUUGAUCAGGAGUGCCUCAUGAGAUGAUAUUGUUCACCUAUUCAAUUUAGCUUUUUCCAAAAUCAGUUGUGACUAUAGUCAAGACAGAUAUAAAUACAAAAAAAGAAAACAUCUCAUGGCAGUAAUGUUGUUCUUCUAUUGUUUGACCCUCCAGGAUACCAAAAUGUUGCAAAGUCAGCAGUCCACUAAUUAAUAUUGUAGAAAAUAAUUAGAUACAAUGAAAUGAUAGAAUCCAAGUUCGAAACAAAAAUAAAAUACUUUGAUUGGUUAAAAGUUUCUCUAUAAACACUAAUGACGGAAGAAAAAAUGGCUUUUCCGAAAAGCUAAUUUUAAUUAUGCACAACUAUGCACAUAAGCUUAAUUUUAGUUUAUAGAAAAAGUUUAUUUAAUUAUUCUUGCUUAUCUUCGUCUUAAAUAUAAGUACUAAUGGAGAUGUUUAUCUAAACAGGAUUUAGAACAACUUGUAAGAUGAAGUGUAGCUAUUAUACCUGGAUGGAGAAUAGGAAAAAGCAUGCAAGGUCUAACAAUCAAUGGAGGUUGUAGAAAUUGUCAAUGCCCUUGUCAAUGUGAAACGACCAAGCAACCCAGAUACCGAUCAAGUUCAAAAUGAAAGCAACAAAUUGUAAGGUGAGAUGAUUGAUCUUUUGAAGUUUUUAGUUCCAGAUAGAGUCUUGUAUGCAAGCAUCCCAGUAAAUUGUGAGAAUAAAAGAAGGUAGUUUCUAACAUAAAAGUAUCUAUUGAUAUUGAUUUACAUUCAGAUUAUGAAAAAAAUCAUACAUGGAGACAAAACAAACAUCAAAUCUUAUUUGAACUUAAGUACAUGAUAAAAUACUUAAAUUUAGUUAUUAUUCAAUCAAAUUUUGUGUUGAAAAUAUUUGCAGUUAAAUGAAUGUAGUUGAGUGUAGUGUAAAAUCUGUAGAACAAAUAUAAAUUAUUCUCAUGUGAAGCUGAAGUUCUUAUCUCUUGAAGUUUGGUGUGAUUUGAACAUAUGGAACUUGCGAAAUCAUAAUUAUGAAGAAAUGGCACAGGUACAUGGAUAAUAGAAAUUUGUGCGUGAUUUCAUAGUUUGAGUGGUUAAGGUAAGGCUCUUGAGAUGAAUUGAAAGCAUUGGUUAACUUUAAACAUGUUACCAGCUGGUGGCAUGCUUGGCAGUACCUUAAAUAGAUUUUAUGUUUAUAUUAGGUAUUAUCAUUCUUCACCAAUCCUUAUACUUUUAUUUACUUGUCCUUCAUUGCAGAGUCUAUGUAUUGCAGGUUUUUCUAAUGGUUAUCAACAGUUUUCUACCAGUUUUUCUGUUGCCUCAGGGGGGAACAUUUCGUCAAUGGGGGAGCAGAGAAUUUCUAGCCAGAUGAUUCCCACUCCUGGAUUCUCAGUCAACAGGAGUCACUCACAUAUGAACAUAGAUUCUAAUACUAAUGGAGAUGCAUUUCCGGUUACUACAAGAAAAGCUUGAUUUAGCUUCCAAAUUUUUGCGUGGGCCAUUUGUGGACGCUACUCUCGUCGGCCAAAAUGAGUAAAAGUCCACGCAAGAUUUACAUUGGACGCAAAACAGACGCAUAUAUUGAUUUAAGAUUUUUUUUAAAAACAUUUUUGCGUCGGCCGCGGCCCACGCAUAGACGUCGGUUUUGUGUCGGUCGCGGCCCACGCAUAUGCGUCCGCUAUAGCCCACGCAUGUUUAGAAUUUUAAAAUUUAAAUAUUUUUAACGUAUAAUAAAUAUUUUAAUAUUUAAUUCUUUAUUAUAUUUAUUUUAGAAUUAUUUCUUUAAUGUUAUAAUAAAUUAUUUAAUUUAUCAAUUUUGAAUAUAAAUUAAUUAAAUUAGAUUUAUUAAAUUAAAUAAGUGUUUGAUUUAAAAUUAAUUGAGUAAAAUAAAAUAUAUAUUUAAAUUAUUUAAAUGUUAUAUAAAAUAUUUGUUUAUUUUAAAUAUUAUUUAUGUUAAAUUUAUUUUAUUUAUAUAUUGUCAUAACUAUUUUAUUUUUGAAAUUAUGAUAUAAAUUAGUUAAAUUAAAUUUAUUAAAUUGAUAAUAAUAAUAUUAAAUUUAUUAAAUUGAUGAUAAUAAUAUUAAAUUUAUUAAAUUUAUUAAAUAUUAAUAUUAAUACUAAUAAUAUUAAUAAUAUGUAUAAGAAUAUUAAUAAUAUUUAUAAUAAUAAUGUUAAUUAUAAUAUUAAUUAUAAUGUUAAUUAUAAUAUUAAUUAUAAUAUUAAUUAUAAUGUUAAUUAUAAUGUUAAUUAUAAUGUUAAUUAUAAUAUCUAUACUAUAUAUAAAGGAAGGGGAUUCCCUUUUAAUUGUUAUUUUAUUUUUUCUAAUUUUAUCCUUAUAUUUUUAUUUAAUUUUAUUUUAAAAACAGUUUUAAUUUUAUUUUAUAUCUUAAAUUUAAAAUUAAACAUUAUAAAAUGAGACUUGUUCGGAACAUUUCAAAAUUGUAUAUUUUUCUGUUCAUCUUUUAUAUCAUCAAACACCUUUUUCAAAGGUCUUUUCUAUUUUCUGUAAUAUCGUUCCAGAUUCACAAAAUCAACCAGUAAGUCUUUUUUUUUCAAUUAUAAAAUAGAUAAAGUAGAAGAUAGAAAUGCAAUAUGUGAAUUUACUUUUUCUUUUAUUCAUUUAUGCAUAUCUUUAAAUUUAGAGUUUUGUUCUUGAGUUUUGUUCUUUCAUGCAAUGUAUGAUGACAAUAACACCAUAAAAAAAAUUUAGGAUUUUAAGAGAAAAAAAACUUACCGGAUAAAAGUGCAUCAUUGAGAAAUGAUCAUAAACAGUCCGCAUGUUGGUGUAGUGUUCGUUCUUGAAUUUUCCGAACAUUCAAACUUCGUUCUUGAAUUUUCAACUGAUACUGAUGGAGGGUAGCACCAUUUUUUAAAUAGCUUUUCUAAUUAUAUGAGUCUUGGAAUCUCUUUUGGAUUUUUGAAUAUAAAACUUUGCCUUUAAUUCAUGAAAAAUAUCACUUUAUGUGCAUGGGUUCUGAUUUGGAAUUUGGGAUUUAGUGAAUUGCGAUUUUGUUGGGUACAAAGAAAUCAAAAUUGGAAGCCAACCAAAUCCAUUAGAUUGCAAAAAGAAAAGAAUAGAUGGGUCGAGGUUGGAUUCGAAUGGAUGAAAUCGUUACCGAGUUGACGGUUAAGACACUGUUACUCAUUGAUGGCAUAAAAUAAAAACAUAAUUAAAUUAUAUUUAAUAAAAAAUAAAAAAUUAACUGUAACGGUUUUCUAUACUUACUUAAAUUAUUAACAGUAGCGACUCCCAAUACUUAAUUUCAAGAACUAAACUUAAUUUUUUGUAUUUAAAUAAUAAAAAAUCACAUAAAUUAAAAAUAUAUUUAAAUUAUACUUAAAAAUAUGUUUUUUUUUAAAUAUUAUCAUAUUUUACAAUACAUAUUUAUUUUCUGAAGAUAUUUUUUAUUUAUGCUAUCUAAUUUUUUUUCAUAUACUUAUUAUUUAUUUUAUAUUUUUAUUUCAUAAAUCAAUAUUGUUUGGUGCUUUUGAUUGCUUUCGUUUACCACUCAUAUAAAAAAAAAAGGUCAACUAUAAUUCUUGCUGUAGGUUUGUUUUGCAUUAGUGAUUUGUUAUUAAAAUUAGUAACACUUGCUUUUGAUGUGUACUAUAGUACUAUUAUUUGAUGUUUUUUAAUUGUUUAUGAAAGUGAUUUCAUAAUUUGUUUUACUUUUAGUUUUGAUUUAUAUUCUAGAAUUUUUUACAUAAUUUUUCUAAGAAGACGAAGAAUGACCAUUGAACAAAGGACAAAUGAGCUAUCUACACAAAGCAGAACUUAUAAAGAAAGGAGAUUGAAAUCUAUUCGACAUUUGGCUCGAUCAAUCAAUAAUGCAAGUAACAAACAUGUUAUAUAACACAACAAAUUUUUUUAUUUUUUUUAUAGUUUUAUAGAUUCAUUCAUUCAUUUAACUUGACAUUUGAAGGAUCUAAUGAUAACGAAGCAGGACCAAGUAACACACAUGUUACUGAACUUGGUUAGUACACUUUUAUGCUUAAGAUGUCAAUUUCCAAAAAGUAUAGUAUUUAAAAAGUCAGAUGCAAUAUCUAUACGAAGAAAAACUUAUAGAGAAAGAAAAAACAAUAUUCUUGAUAUGACAAAUAUUGUUCCAGGAAGGAGAUUGUCAAUCUAUUCGACAUUUGGCUCGGUCAAUAAAUGAUGCAGGUAACACAUAUUGUUGCUUUAAAUUGUUCUAUGUAAUUUUAUUCAUUUAUUUAACUUCACAGGUUCUACUUUUACUCCACAAAACUUUCAAGGAUCAAAUGAUAAUGAAGCAGGACUAAGUAAUACAAAUAUCAUUGACAUUGAAAAUGGUUAGUAUAUUUUUAUCGCAAUAUUUACGUGAUGGAAGUUCAAUGAAAUACUUCACUUUUUUGAAAGAUUAUUACACAUGUAGGAAGGCAACAAAGAUUUCGACGGAUACAUAACUGUGCUUGAAAUUUUAGAAACACUGUUGCGAUGGUAAUGUUUCAAUUGUCAACUCCGACUACAUGUGCACAUUGUCAUGCACAAUUAUUUUACCAUGNNNNNNNNNNNNNNNNNNNNNNNNNNNNNNNNNNNNNNNNNNNNNNNNNNNNNNNNNNNNNNNNNNNNNNNNNNNNNNNNNNNNNNNNNNNNNNNNNNNNCUUCCCCGUGUUACUGCUCCGGAUGAGUUGGUUCAAAUAUUUUCUGGUUGUUCUUCUGAAAGUAGACACUUUAGACAACAUAUUAGAAGUUACAACCAUGUGUUUUCAUUCACUUCACUUGGUGUUCACAUGGAUGAAAAUAUAGUUGCAACUGGUCAUGGUAUAUAUAGUUUUCGUGCUCAAGGUACAAUGUAUCACAGGAUUGGAGGCUUUUUUCCAAAUGAGGGGUCUAGGCCACGUUUUUUGCAAUUGUACAUUUAUGACACUGAACAUGAAUUACAAAAUAGGAUGUUGGAAACUCCUCAUCUCCAUCAAACUAUUGUUAAUAAGUUGCAACAAAUACUACAUCGGUGCAAUCCUUUUGUGCAUGUAUUCAGACAACUUGCUCAAGAACAAAAUAUACAUGAAUGUACUUUACUCAUUAAAGAGCGUCCUGUCAAUCAACCACAAUAUAAUCUUCCAACUGCAUCUCAAGUAGUAGCAAUAAUUGUUACUGGGGACACAUAAUCAAUGGCACGUGGACGAGACAUUAAAGUUGUAAGUCAUGAUGGGAACUUAAUAAACAUUCAAGAAACUGUGGGAUAUUAUGACCCUUUACAAUAUCCACUAUUAUUUCCUUUUGGAACAUAUGGUUGGGAUCUCAACACAAAAAAUCAUACUGGCCAAAAUAUCUCAUGCCGAGAAUAUUAUAACUACAUGCUUCAGGUAACUUCCAACAUAAUUAUAUAUAUCAUUUCCAACAAUUUACAUACCAAUGUUGUGUCAUAAAAUUAAUACACAUACAUCAUUACUUCAAUGUAGAUUUGUCCCAAUGAUCACUCUACAAUAUUACAAGCAGGACGACUUUUACAACAAUAUGUUGUAGACAACUAUGUGAAGAUUGAAGUAGGAAGGUUACGAUGGAUUCGAAAUCAUCAAAAUAAUAUUCGUGCUGAAGUGUAUCAAGGUUUGCAAGAUGCUUUNNNNNNNNNNNNNNNNNNNNNNNNNNNNNNNNNNNNNNNNNNNNNNNNNNNNNNNNNNNNNNNNNNNNNNNNNNNNNNNNNNNNNNNNNNNNNNNNNNNNACAUACUACAUCUAUUACAUUUAAAUAUAUCAAAACUCAUACUAUUUUUUUAUUCAAGGAAAUGUUGGACAUAGGACAAUAUUACCAUCAUCAUUUAUUGGUAGUCGUCGAGACUUGACACAACGAUAUGAAGAUGGCAUGACAAUUGUUGCUCAUGAUGGUAAACCUGAUAUUUUCCUUACAAUGACAUGCAAUCCUUCUUGGAAUGAAAUUUCUUCAGAGCUUAAACAUUUUCAAACUCCACAAGAUCGUCCUGACUUGCUCACAAGAAUAUUUCGAGCAAAAUUUGAACAAUUGAAGGAAGAUGUGAUUGAUAAAGGAGUUCUUGGAAAAGUUAAAAGUUACAUGUAUGUGACUGAAUUUAAAAAACGUGGACUACCCCAUGUGCAUAUGUUACUUAUCUUACAAGAUAAUGAUAAAUUACGUGAUCCAGAAGAUUAUGAUAGCAUUGUUAGAGCAGAAAUACCAAAAAGUGAAGAAGAGCCACAGUUGCACGAAGCUGUACUGAAACACAUGAUACACGGGCCUUGCGGAACUCUUAAUCCAAGAUCACCAUGUAUGAAUUAAAAUCAAUGCAAGAAAAAAUAUCCUAAAGAGUUCUUGGAAGAAACACGUCAAGGUAAUGACUCAUAUCCACAAUACAAAAGACGUUUCAAUGCACCAGUAUCUAUAAAUAGAAAUGUGACUGUUGACAAGAAAUGGGUGGUUCCUUAUAACCCUUGGUUGUUGUUAAAUAUGAUUGUCAUAUAAAUGUUGAAGUGUGCAGUAGCAUCAAAAGUAUUAAAUAUUUAUACAAGUAUGUCUACAAAGGUCCAGAUCGAGUAGCAAUGGAGGUUCAUAGAGGAUCAAUUGUAGAUGAAGUUCAACAAUAUAUUGAUGCUAGAUGGAUUUGUGCUCCGGAGGCUUUAUGGAAAAUAUUCAGAUUUACACUUUAUCGAAUGAAUCCAAGUGUAGAAAGAUUACAAAUUCAUUUACCAAAUCGUCAUCAGGUGCGCUUCUAUUUUAUUUUUCUAUAAAAGAAAUAAAUGUUUUCGUAAUGUAUAGUGAUCCAGCCGGUUGACCAGAGCGCAAGAGUCUUGCCACGUCAAAGGUAUCUUCCUCUGGAUCGACUCUGCACCACGCUAGCUUCCGUCCUUCACACCUCGAUUCUCCUCAAGAACCUGCAAAAGACAGAGUGGCGCCGCUGCGGCCGAUCGCGCUCCGACGCUCAAGUCAGUGACGGAAUCACCAAAACUCUAAGAGAGAAAAGCUAAAACUCAAGGAACCGUGCAAAAUCUCUCUCUCAGCGUACUCAAGUAUUCUCAAAGCGUAAAGAAGUGUUCUAAACGCGCCUACCUCAGAAUCUGUUAAGAGUUCCUUAUAUACCUGUGCAUUUUCUCUCUCCUGACAGUUACACCUCUGGACACGUGGCUCGCAUCCAUCUGUACACGUGUCACCAUCUGGAACGUCUUCUACUUCAGCGUCACUUCUACUCUUCAGGCUGUUCGACUAAGUUAUCCAUGCAAGGAGUAACUCGGUGCAUAGCUGCCUUGGAGCGCGAUCUCUUCUAGUGGCGAGCACGGGGUGUCACCAUGCACACCUUCUCUGUGGUCUCGCCUGCCGCUAUCAUGAUUUGCAUUACUUGCUCAUCGUGCAUGUUCUGGUAAACUGUUCCCUUGCCUCAACCUCUGGCCAGGGGAUGAUCAUCUGAUAACUUCAUCCUUCGUACUCGUGCCCUUUGAAAGCCUUGAACAAGCUUCCCUGAUCUUUCGGCGAUGUCCCCCUCUCGGCGAUCUCUAACCACUUGGUCGUCUAAGCUCGCAGACGGCGACUACGGCACAAGUCUGGUGACCGCCGGUUUAGAUAUGCUAGAGAUCGGAGCACGCCAACUUAACGAUUGGCGACUACACAGACCUCCCGAUGUACUUCCCUUCUGUCAGUCAGGUGUUCCGCUUAACACGCCUAUAUUAUCGCUCGCUGCCACGUCAUCACUCCCGACUACCUGGUCGGUAAAUAUAGUAUAAAUUCAUGUAAACUGAAGUUGCACCUCAGAUUUGAAACUUUCUUUGUUGGUUCUUAUUUUAUCUAUUUGUCCUUCUGUAGUUUUAGAGAGAGAAGAUGAAGAGAUCAAAGUGGUGCAAUAUUUCAAUUCAUCAUCUCUGUUUUUUACUUUCUAUUUCAGGUGCGCUUCUAUAAGCAUCAAAACAUAAGUGAUGUAUUAAAUGAUGACAACACUUCUAAAACCAUGCUCACAGAAUUCUUUGCACUAAAUUGUCGAGAUCCACAUUCUAGAAGUUAUUUGUGUAGAGAAAUUACACAACAUUAUUGUUGGCAUAACAGACAAAAGGAAUGGUACCCAAGAAGGUCAAGGAAGAAAGUUAUUGGUCGAAUUUAUACUGUAUCUCCUUCAGAAGGAGAAAAAUUCUUCUUGAGUAUUUUGUUAUCCCAUAUAAGAGGGCCAACCAGUUGGGAAUACCUAUUAUCACUGAAUCAAACAUAUUUCCCCACAUUUAAAAAAGCAGCUGAAAAAUGGGGAUAUUUUUAGAAAGUGAUAAUAGCAUUCAUGAAUGCUUAGUCAAAGCAUCAAGUUUACAGAUGUUCGAAGUCUUUAGAAUGAGUUUUGUAUCUUUAUGGCAGAAGAUUAUACUUCAAGAAGUACUUCUAUGGGCAUCAACGUUAAUAUGCUAUUGAGGGAUUUGAAUGAUCUUCUUAUUCAACAUGGUAAAACAAUCAAUAAUUUUGAUUUACCAGCAUUAACAUUGGAUGCAUUUGAAAAUACUUCAGUACCAAGAAUUAUACAAGAAGAGUUAUCAAUACAAAUACCUAAUGAAGAUGUUGACAAUGUACACAGAUUGAAUAUUGAUCAGUUGAUUGCUUUCAAUACCAUUUUAGAUGUAAUUCAUCGUAAGCAAAGUCAAGUAUUUUUUGUGGACGGACCAGGAGGAACCGGUAAAACAUUCCUUUACCGUACAUUAAUUGCAUAUUAUAAAAGUAAAGGAAAAAUUAUUUUAGCGACAGCCUCCUCUAGUAUAGCUACAACAUUAUUACCUGGUGGUCGAACUGCACAUUCUCGAUUUAAGAUACCUAUUAAUGUAGAAGUUGGUUCCUUUUGUUCAAUAAGCAAACAAUCUGAUCUUGCAAAGCUACUAAGAGAAACAACAGCAAUUAUUUGGGAUGAAGCACCAAUGACCAAUAGAUAUGCUUUAGAGGCAUUAGAUAGAUCAUUAAAGGACAUUCUAGAUUGUGAUGCUCCAUUUGGGGGGAAAGUGAUGAUAUUAGGAGGAGAUUUUCGCCAGGUACUACCAGUUGUUCAAAAGGGUACAAAGGCACAAAUGAUUUUUGCAUGUAUUGUUAAGUCUCUUUUAUGGAGUAACACAAAGGUAUUGCAUUUACAACAAAACAUGCGAUCAUUGCAAGAUCACAAUUUUGCAGAAUACCUCAUGCGCAUUGGAGAUGGGAUUGAACCUACAAUUCUUGAUGAUAUGGUGAAAAUACCCCAUGAACUAGCAAUACCAUGGGAAGGAGAAAGUUCAUUACAAAAACUUAUACAAGAAACNNNNNNNNNNNNNNNNNNNNNNNNNNNNNNNNNNNNNNNNNNNNNNNNNNNNNNNNNNNNNNNNNNNNNNNNNNNNNNNNNNNNNNNNNNNNNNNNNNNNNNNNNNNNNNNNNNNNNNNNNNNNNNNNNNNNNNNNNNNNNNNNNNNNNNNNNNNNNNNNNACACACAUAGUCUAUACCAACAAGAGUACUUGCACUCCAUUGCUCCAGGUGACUUGCCACCUCAUAUUUUAAAGCUUAAAAAAGGUGCACCAUUAAUGUUGUUGCGAAACAUAGACCCUAAAUCUGGGUUAUGUAAUGGGACGAGAUUAUUGUGUCGUGGGUUCUACAUGAACAUGUUGGAUAUUGAAAUCUUGACAGGUCAACAUGCUGGAAAAAGAUCUUUCUUACCAAGAAUUAAACAUAAAACAACAGAAAGUGCAGGUCUCCCAUUUGUGCUUAUUAGGAAACAAUUUCCUAUGAAAUUAAGUUUUGCCAUUACUAUAAAUAAAUCACAGGGGCAAACUAUACCUAAUGUUGGAAUUUACCUUCCACGACACGUUUUUAGUCAUGGUCAAUUAUAUGUUGCACUAUCAAGAGGUGUUUCUCAAGCUUCAACAAAAAUUCUUAUUAAAGAAGGAUACCUUGAAGGAGAAGAUGGAAAUUUUACCAAAAAUGUUGUUUAUAAAGAUAUUUUAUUAUCACAAAAUCAGGUAUUGUUCGUUUUAUUUAUGUGUGACGCAUAAAUAUAAGUAUAGGUGAUUAUUCUACUGACAUUAUUUCUUAUAUAUAUAUAUAUAUAUAUAUAUCCAAGUUAACAUAAUAUACAAGGAGCCCUUACAGUUGAAUGAAGAUAUCAAAACAAAGCAUUCACACAUUUAUCUACACAAACAGGUAAUUAUCAAUAUAUGUAUAUUGCAUAUAUAUGUGUGUAUUUUGCAAUUUAUUCAUAAUUGACAUUCUUUCAUAGGAAACAAAAUUUGUAAAGACUGGAACAAUUAGAAGGAUGAUCAAUCACUCACAUUGAUUAAGCCAAUUGACAUCAAGGUAUAAUGAUUUUACAUAAUGAUGAUGAUAAUGAUAUUUUUUCAUUCAAUGUACUAUAAAUUUAUAAUGUUAUAAAUAAGUGUACAAAUAAUAAUAUUUUUUAAUUUUUAAUUUUAAUUUGAAUAUUAAAUAUAAAUACAUAUAAAUGAAAAAAAUAAAAAAUGCGGAUACACAGGCGCGCCCGCUAGUAAUAUUAAUAAUAAUUUAAUAAUAAUGUUAAUAAUAAUUUAAUAAUAUGAGUAUAAUUUAUUUUAUUAUUAUUAUUAAUAAUUAUAUUAAUAUGUAUAUAUUAUAUUAAUAAUAAGUAUAAUAAAAAUGAUAAUAUGACUAAAGAAUUUGUUUGGUCUAGUGGUUAAUGCUUCCCUGGUCACUGGAAGGACUUGAGUUCGUUUACAAGCUGUAUAUUGUUUCCAAUCAAGCCAUAUCCACUAUUUAUAGCACCAUUUGAGUUUGUAAAUGGCUUCUGUAGUAAACCAGAUCUCAAUCCAAUACCUAUUUGACUGUUGAUGUUCUGCAAUAAUAUUACAUGACUAUUUUGGCCACCAACAUGCUGCUUCUGCUACUGAAGUUGUGACAGUGGUACCAUAGUAGACUCUACACCCACUACAAGAAAAUGAUGGAUUUGUGUGAGACAGAAAUGGACGCAAAACUUGAAAAACGGACGCUUAUGUGUCUGCUAAGCAUCCCACGAAAAAACCCUGGAAACAAAUCGAAAUUAGCGUUGGACGCAUUUUAUGCCUCCACUUAUGUCAAUUCACCUAAACACUUGCACCGGCACUUUGAUCGAAAUCAAAAAUCAGUAAUGCAAGGUAAUAUUUUUCUCACUCUUUUUAAUUUUAUUUUAUCAAGGAAUGAGACUAAGACCUUCACCUAUAACCCAACACCUGUAUUAAGCUUCAUAACCUUUUAGGACUAUGUUUUUUUGUGAUCAGUAUACACAUAUGUGUGUCUGUAUACACAUUACUGAUAGCAAAGGGUAAUCAAUGUAAAAGAAAGUUGUAGAAUAGGGUACAAAAGAAAUUGAUGAUUAAGUUUGUGUAUGAAGUGAAAGCUGUUAGAACAACUAGAUCAUCUCUUUUUUUCUGUCAUUGGAUGUUUUUUUUCCCUUCUCUUAUAUUGUUGAGUUGAUAUGUUCGCUUGGGCAUAUAUAUGUUCAGCUUGGUUAAACUGAAAAAUGGCAGGAGUUUAUUCGAGAGCUACAAAAAUUGAUCCGUGAUGUCCAGGUGAAUGAUUAUAGAACACCUUUUGCAUAGAUAUUUUUAACCAUUUAGUGUUCUAUGUGUUGUGCAAUAUAAUGUUUUCAUACACUUGUUCGAUUACUUGUUGAGUCCUUGUUUUACAAUGGAAAACUUUAUUAGGUUCAAGUUGUUAUUUAUGUCUUUAUUUGAGUUAGUGAGGAUAUUUAGUAUUUUUUUUUCUAAAUAUGAGACUAUAUAUAUUUGAAUAAAAAUUGUCAUUUGUUCGGUCUCUUUUGUUUUUGGUGAAGUAUUUUUUUGGAUAAUGAUACAUGGACAACCUAAAAUUUUUAUAGAACCAUAUUACAACUCCCAAUACUAUUAUUUUAAUAUUUUUUUAUAUCAUUUAAUUACAAAAUUUACCCUUUAUUAUAUAUAUUUAUUUCUAAAUCCAUCACAUCAAGGGUUGUAUACAACUCUUGGAAUUGUCAACCUCUCAUUUUCUUUUUUUUUUCCAAUUAAUAUUGUUGUUAGCUCUUCCUUUUUCUGAUGCGGUUCUUCAUUUCUUAGGUAUAUAAUUUAAUUAAUUAAAGUUCAAUAGAUUUCGAAUUGAUUCCUUUGGUGUUGCUAAAAGUGAAAAAAAUUGAUAAUCGAACUAACAUUCUUGAUAUAGUUUCAGCUUUUGGUUUGUUCUUGAAAAAGAUUCAUUGUCUUGCAGACAUUUCUUGAGCUGGAAGAAUUAUUAAUUCUUUCUAACACAUGAGUUGCACUAUAUGCAUUCAAAAUUGUAAUGGGUUAAGAGUUUAUCAUUGUUCACUUUUUGGUUUGGAAAUUUUAUCUUUAUGAAUAGACUUUUUGAAGUUUCAUAAUUUGUUAUGAUAUAGAUAUUGUAAUUGUGGUCCAGGCUCAGACUCUUUUUAAGAAGGAGAGGUUAAGAAGUACCAAUUGAAUUACUAAAUAAUGUUGGUACGCUUCAGUUUGAAAAGAUUCAAGCUUGAUUUUUUUAGUUGUAACUUAUAUGUCGCUCAUUUUUUUCUCAACAUAAUAGAUGUUGGAUAGCUGAAUUUAGAGGGUAAAUUUCCUAUCUAGCACCAUUUACACUUUUAUUUCCCCAUCUAACACUCUUUUGUUUUUAUUUCCUUAUCUAGCACCCUUUUGUUUUUAUUUUCCUAUCUAACACCCUUUUAUUUUUUAUUUCCCUAUCUAGCACCAUUUCAAAAAUAAAUAAAUAAAUAAUAAAUUAAAAAAAUUGAUAAUUUUAAUUUUCAAUGCAUUAAAAAAUAAAUAUUUUUAAUGUUUAAAAUAGUUAGAAAUAUAAUUAAUGAAUAAAAAAUGAGUUUUUACAAAAUAAAAUUUAAAAAAAUAAUAAAUUUAAAAUGUUUAGUUUAAAAAUUAUUUUUUUAAGAAUGAAGAAAAUAAAAAAUUAAACUCUACAACAACAUAAAAGUUGAAUCUAUAAACAUAAAUUAGUAUUUAUUUUUAUUAUUAUUGAUGAUGUAAUCAUGUUAAUUUAAAGUAAAAAAUACAGGACAUAUUUAUAAAAAAAUCAAGUUGAAUAAGAACUGAUAUGGACAUAAGAGAACAACAUGACUGAACAAAAAAAAUAUUCAUAUUGUCAAACACCAGGACACAUCUAAAGAACCUGUCCCAGCAUUACUGGAUUGUGCAAUUCUCGUCAUUAAUUAUACCAUUGAAGAAAAUAUUAAAUGAAUGACCAUCUUUAAUUUAUUUUCCUUUUUAUGACCAACAUAUACUUAUUUAGUAUCGCCUUAUAUCUCUUAUAUUUAUCUUAUUUGGAUUUUUUUUAUAUAUUUUAUCUUUAUCUUAUUUUGUUUUGCCUUUAUUUUAUAUCUUUUAUGUUUUUAGUUAUUAUUUUUUUUCUACCAUUCUUGAUUUAUUUAUGUUUUUAUUUUAUUUUAUUGUUGCUGUUUUUAUUUUCUAGACUUAUUUAUUUUUGCAUUUUUUUCUUCUCAUUUUUAAGUAUUAAGUGUAACAUUUGCUUUAGUUUUUGUUUUAGGAUUUUGCAUUUAAGGUAGACACUUCAAUAUUAUUUAUGUGUCCACUAUUAAUUAAUACUAAUUGACUUUGGUUUUUUUAUAAUUAUGUCCUGUAUUUUUUACUUGAAAUUAACAUGAUUACAUCAUCAAUAAUAAUAAAAAUAAAUACUAAUUUAUGUUUAUAGAUUCAACUUUUAUGUUGUUGUAGGGUUUAAUUUUUUAUUUUCUUCAUUCUUAAAAAAAAUAAUUUUAAACUAAACAUUUUAAAUUUAUUAAUUUUUUAUUUUUAUUUUGUAAAAACUCAUUUUUUAUUCAUUAAUUAUAUUUCUAACUAUUUUAAACAUUAAAAAUAUUUAUUUUUUAAUACAUUCAAAAUUAAAAUUAUCAAAAAAUAAAUAAAUUAUUUUUUAUUUAUUUUUAAAAUAGUGCUAGGUAGGGAAAUAAAAAAUAAAAGGGUGUUAGAUAGGGAAAUAAAAACAAAAGGGUGCUAGAUAGGGAAAUAAAAACAAAAUGGUGCUAGUUAAGGAAAUAAAAGUGUAAAUGGUGUUAGAUAGGGAAUUUACCCGAAUUUAGAAGGAGAAAAUAUUAAUUUUAUUAUUCAAUAAUGAGAAUAUAGUGGGGUAAAUUCCCUAUCUAGCACCAUUUACACUUUUAUUUCCCUAUCUAGCACUCUUUUGUUUUUAUUUCCCUAUCUAGCACCCUUUUGUUUUUAUUUCCCUAUCUAGCACACAAGUAAUGUUGGGACAUGUUCUUUAUGUAUGUCCUGGUAUUUGACAAUAUGAACAUUUUUGUGUUCGAUCAUGUUGUUCUCUUAUGUUCAUAUCAGUCCUUAUUCAAUUUGGUUUUUUUAAAAUUAUAUCCUCUAUUUUUUACUUGAAAUUAACAUGAUUACAUCAUCAAUAAUAAUAAUAAUAAAAAUAAAUAUUUUUAUGUUUAUAGAUUCAACUUUUAUGUUGUUGCAGAGUUUAAUUUUUUAUUUUUUUUAUUCUUAAAAAAAUAAUUUUUAAACUAAACAUUUUAAAUUUAUUACUUUUUUAUUUUUAUUUUGUAAAAACUCAUUUCUUUAUUCAUUAAUUAUAUUUCUAACUAUUUUAAACAUUAAACAUAUUUAUUUUUUAAAGCAUUCAAAAUUAAAAUUAUCAUUUUUUUAAAUUUAUUAUUUAUUUAUUUUUGAAAUGGUACUAGAUAGGAAAAUAAAAAAUAAAAGGUUGUUAGAUAGAGAAAUAAAAACAAAAGGGUGCUAGAUAGGAAAAUAAAAACAAAAGAGUGCUAGAUGGAGAAAUAAAAAUGUAAAUGGUGCUAGACAGGGAAUUUACCCGAAUAUAGUACUACUAUAAGAACUAUUUAACAAUAUUGUUUGAGAGAAUGUAGUUCGUAGAUUGUGCAUAUCAUCCAUAUAUACAAACUUUGGUUUAUUUGAAUAAACUUCUCCACAAGUUUUUUGUUUUUAUAAUAACUUGGCCAAAAGCUUUUGUUUAGGUAAGGUAUUCUUAGCUUAUUAAAAAUCUUAUUACGUUUUUAUUUUUUUAUCUGGUAAGUGUUUACAAAAAAAUUUAUCAAAACAGGCCUUUAGCAAAAACUAUUUCCUUUCAUAGUUUAAUAUUAAUUGAGUGCAACUCCUUAGAAAAAAAAAAUACCCAUACCUGUAUUCAUAAUUGUAUAAGAAUUCUAUUCAAUGUAGAAUAUCAAUGUAGAAUAGGUUCCAUUUUAGAUAUAAGUAAAUCUGCAUUAGCUAAAUAAAAAAAACAUUAUCUAAUUUUUUAAAAUGAUAGCAUUGUUUAUUUUCAUAAAUUUUGUUUGAUAUAAUUAUCAAUAUAAUAAAUUUACUUUUUUAUAAUAAGAAUCAAACCUAAAUAUUUAUGUUUAUUAUUCUAACAUCGAUCACUAAAUGGAUCUUAAUGAAUAAGAUGAAUGAUUUAGUAAGUAAUAUGUAUUUCUUAUAUCAAUAUAAUUAUUUGGUAUUAAUACGAAAUUAUAUCUAUGUAGUGUUAUGAAACAUUGGAAAGUAAAUAAAAAAAGUUGAAGGGUACUAAUGUAUUAAUGUUAGGUGGUAGAUGAAGAACAAAGGGUCUGAGAAAAUUGUUGGACUAUUUUUUUUAUUUAUCACCUACUUUUUUAUAUAUACACCUCCUAGAAAUAAUGGGGGUUUGAAAAUUGUCGGUAAUAAUGAGGGUUUGAAAACCAUCAGAAAUAACGGGGGUUUCCAAAACCACUGACAUAACGAGGUUUUCCAAAACCAUCGGAAAUAACGGGGAUUUCCAAAUCGUCGGGAGUAAUAGGGGUUUCCAAACUGCUGAAAAGUAAUUAUUUUCUAGGAGUUCGUAAAACUGCCAAUAAUCUGUUAGCGAUGUUGGAUCUAACCGGAGAAAAACAAAUAACGUACUUAACAAAGGUUAAAACCGUCAAAAAUGCAAAAAAUAACCUUGUUAAAAACAAUUUUUAUUUUUAUUUUUUAAUCUCUUUUAACAUUUCAAAAUACUAACUAAAAUACAUUUUAUUUUCGUAAAAGAAAGUAUUUCCCAUAAUAUAAAACAAGGAAGAAAAAAUAAAGAUAAAUAUAUUAUUGAAAUAAAAGAACUAAAAUGAGAGUUUUUUUAUAAUAUAAUGUAAUAGUAUAUAUUAACAUUCUCUCCUUCCCCUCAUAAUUUUUAUUGCGCUAAAAUAUAUUGAGUAUAAAAUAAUACCUUUAUCAAUUAAUAAUUUUAUAUAAUAUUUUUAUACAUUCAUAUAAAAUGUUAAUAUUGAAACAUAAUAAUAAAAUUAUUAAAAAAGUUAUCUUUUCAUAUAUUUUAAAAUAUAUUAUGUGUUAUUAAAAAGAGAUAUUAAAUUAAUUUAAAUUAAUAUAAAAUUUUGUAGGUACAAUCUAUUUUAAAAAAACUUUAAAUUUAAUUAUUUGUAAGUUUUUAGAAAUUAUAAUGGGAUUAAUGUAAUAAUUAGUAUAAUAUAUAUAUAUAUAUAGUUUACUAUUCACAUAGGACUAGGGGUGGCAAAGUGGGGCAAACCGUGCGGGCUAGUCCGCGGCCCGCUAAAAAAACACGGGACGGGUUGUUUAUUUCAACCCGCUGGCACGUUUAGGCCCGCCUCACAUAACCCGCAACCCGCACGGGCCAAGUGCGGGUCAGAGCGGGUUGGCUCGCAUAACUUUAAAAUGUAUAAUUUUUUUUCUACAUCCCCAUAUUUUUUUCAUGUAGCCUCAUAUUUUACAUUCUGAAAUUUUUAAUAACAUCUUAUUACGCAUGUUUCAUUAAAAUAAUAUUAUGAAACCAUUUACCUAAUGCAUCUAAAUAAAAUAAAUUCAAAUUUUGUAUUUUCUUUUUUCUUAAUAAAUAUGUCUUAUGCGGACUAGUUCGCAAGCCCGCGAGCCAACCCUUAUAUAAGACGGAUUAAAAAAAUCAACCCACAAAUUUUAUGCGACGGCCAAGACCCGCAUUGCCACCACCACUUUUCAUAGGACACAUUCAUAAUUGAGAAGGUUUUGGACUAUUUGAUGUCUGUUUUGGUUUGACUACCUUAGGUUUUAAUCAAAUUGGUUAAAAUAUUGUUAUCAAUGGUGUGAUUCCAAAUAUAAAAUAACAUUAAGCAAUUUAAUUUCAUAUUUAUAAAGAUAAAAUAUAGCUAGUAUUAUGUAUGGUGUAAAAUAUUUUUAAAUUUAUUUAAUUCCAAACUACUUAUAUAAAUGCAUAGGAGAUUAGUGUGUCACUAAGACCCACAAUGGUAGUGUUGUGGAAAUUGUAAUAGUGUGGACUCCAAGAAAAAAAAGCAGAUAGAGUGACCAAAAACUCAUCUAUGGAUGCUGCUGGUGCUACCCUUUUGGGUUACAUCUUCUCCUCCUCCUUAGCUUUCCUUCUUUUCACUCUACUUUUGAAGUCCUUUGGCCUUUUACGAACCACAAAUGGCAGUGUUGGACCUCCACCAUCGCUUCCCAUCAUCGGUCAUCUCCACCUUAUGGGUUCCAUCGUACCAAAAUCAUUUCAAGCUCUGGCUCGCCGUUAUGGCCCUCUCAUUCAGCUCCGUUUAGGUGCCUCAACAUGCGUAGUUGUCUCCAAGUCGCCAAAGAAGUCAUGAAAACACAUGACCUCAAUUUCUGUAACCGACCCCAGUUUGGAUCCUCAGAGAACUACUUAUACAAAGGCUCUGAUUUCAUCACUGUGCCAUAUGGUCCUUAUUGGCGCUUCAUCAAAAAGCUUUGCGUUACUCAACUUCUCUCCACCGCGCAGCUUGGGCGCUUACGGCACAUCCGGCAGCAGGAGAUAGAGAAGCUCUUGAAAUCUCUCCUGGAGUGUUCCUCUGAAGCCAGGGAAACGGAUUUGAGCCGUGAUCUUUCUGCUUUGACCAACAAUGUCCUGUGUCGGAUGGCCAUGAAUACGACCUGUUUGGAUGACGUUAAUGAUGGUGAGGAUAUUAUUAGCCUGGUAACAGAGUUUAUGCACUUGGGAGCCAAGUUGAGCAUGGGUGAGGUGUUGGGACCUUUGGGAAAGUUUGACUUGUUUGGUUAUGGGAAGAAGCUUGUCAGAAUAGUCGGUAAAUUCGACCAGAUUUUGGAGCGCAUCUUACAGGAACAUGAAGCGAACAACUCCGAAAGAGGGGACAUGAUGGAUAUUCUAUUGCAAGUCCACAAAGAUCCAAAUGCUGAGAUGAGGUUAGCAAGGAAUGAUAUCAAGGCCUUCUUCCUGGUAAGUUCUUAUCUUUUGUGUUGGAGAUCCCACAUCGACUAGAGAUAAGGACCUUUCAUUGUAUAUAAGUGGAUGCAAACCUCACCUUAUUGAGCCAGUUUUAUGGGGUUGAGUUAGGCUUAAAGUCCACUUCGUAAUAUGGUAUCAGAGCCAGGUUCAAAUUCUCACGAGCUUCCUCGGCAAGAAGUUGGAGAUGGAACAACAUCUGUCAUCAUUCUUGCUGGUGAGAUGCUUCAUGUUGCCGAUGCAUUCAUUGACAAAAUUCACCCUACAGUUAUUUGCCGAGAGGAUGCUCUUUCUGUUCUUGACAAAAUUGCAAUGCCUAUUGAUGCUCAGGAUCGAGGUAUAAUGCUGGGGCUAGUAAAAAACUGCAUAGGUACCAAAUUCACAGGUCAAUUUGGGGAUUUAAUUGCUCUGAUUUAGCUAUUGAUGCUACUACAACAGUAGGUGUUGAUAUUGGCCAAGGUUUGAGAGAUGUAGAUAUUAAAAAUUAUAUUAAGGUUGAGAAGGUCCCUGGUGGGCAGCUGGAGGAUUCUAGAGUACUCAAGGGAGUUAUGAUAAACAAAGAUGUGGUUGCCCCUGGCAAAAUGAGGAGAAAGAUUGUUAACCCACGCAUCAUUCUUCUUGAUUCUCCCCUUGAGUAUAAAAAGGGUGAAAACCAAACAAAUGCUGAACUGCUCAAAGAAGAAGACUGGAGUCUUUUAUUGAAGAUGGAAGAAGAAUAUAUUGAGGAGCUAUGCAUGCAGAUAUUGAAGUUUAAGCCUGACUUGGUAAUCACGGAGAAGGGUCUGAGUGAUUUGGCUUGCCAUUAUCUGAGCAAGCAUGGAGUUGCUUGCUCAGAUAAUAAUAGAAUUGCUAAGGCAUGUGGUGCUGUUAUUGUGAACAGACCAGAUGAAUUGCAGGAGUCUGAUGUUGGUACUGGUGCUGGGUUAUUUGAGGUUAAGAAAAUUGGAGAUGAGUACUUUUCAUUUAUUGUUGAUCACAGAGCUAGUAAGGAUCUCUUAAAUGAAGUUGAAAGAAAUCUACAGGAUGCCAUGUCUGUUGCAAGGAACAUAAUAAAAAAUCCAAAACUUGUUCCUGGAGGUGGUGCAACAGAGUUGACAGUGUCAGCUGCCUUGAAACAGAAGAGUUCUUCUAUCGAGGGCAUUGAAAAAUGGCCGUAUGAAGCUGCUGCGAUUGCUUUUGAAUCCAUCCCACGAACUUUGGCACAAAAUUGUGGAGUAAAUGUCAUCCGGACUAUGACAGCUCUACAAGGAAAACAUGCAAAUGGAGAAAAUACAUGGAUUGGUAUAGAUGGAAAUACUGGCAGCAUCACUGACAUGAAAGAGGGCAAGAUCUGGGAUGCCUACAAUGUGAAGGCGCAAGCUUUUAAGACUGCCAUUGAAGCUGCUUGCAUGCUUCUGAGGAUUGAUGAUAUAGUGAGUGGGAUCAAGAAGAAGCAGGCCCUGGAGCUUCAGGUUCUUCAAAACCCAAGAUUGAGACCGAGGCAGAUGCUGACAAUGAGCAAAUCCUUCCUGAUUGAGAAUCUAGGUUCAACUGACAUUGCUUUUUGAUAGAGUUAAUGACGUACUAGUUUCUUGGUCUUCAUUAAAUCUUAUUACUAUUAGAAGUUUUGGGUCCUUGACUGGGUUUUUGUUUUUUGUGCCUUGUACUUUUUGCAAGAGCAAAUUGUGAACUUUGUUUAUUUUAAAUACUAUAUUAACUGGUGUGUGAUUUAUUGGGUGUUUUUGUCUACUGUUGAGAUUUUGUGCCGGGGUCAAACAUGCUAGUUUCAUCAAUUUUGUUGAGUCGGUUUUAUGGGGUUGAGUUAGGCUUAAAGUCCACUUCGUAAUAUGGUAUUAGAGCCAUUUCGAAUCUAUCCUAGCGAGUAUUUGUGUUGGACCUAUCGUGCCACCCGCUAUCGGGCCGCUAUCGGAUCACCCAAAAUAUAUAGUCUCACGCACGAGUUGGCAGUCUCGGCGUAAGGGGUGUGUUGGAGAUCCCACAUCGACUAGAGAUUAGAGCCUUUCAUUGUAUAUAAAUGAGUGCAAACCUCAACCCUAUCAGCUGGUUUUAUAGGGUUGAGUUAGGCUUAAAGUCCAUUUUAUAACAUGGUAUUAGAGCCACUCUUUCUUAAUAUUUUGCCUUGGAUAUUCACUGUUGUUUUUUAUGUAAAAAAGUUUCACAUUUUUAGAACGGAGUAGAGUAGAAAAGUGACUAUAGUUUUUGUGGUGUGUUGCAAGGAUAUUUUCCUAGCGGGAACAGACACGUCUUCAACAGCGGCCCAAUGGGCCAUGGCAGAAAUCAUGAACAGGUGUUGACGAAGGUGAGGGAAGAGAUUGAUGCAGUGGUGGGUUUUAGCAGGUUGGUCACUGAAUCAGACCUUCCAAAUCUACCUUAUCUCCAAGCUGUUGUGAAGGAAGUGCUAAGACUGCACCCUACGGCACCGUUUGCUCUUAGAGAAUCGGCAGAGGACUGCACCAUCAACGGGUAUGAUAUUAAGAGUCAGACACGGACACUGAUCAAUGUGUACGCCAUCAUGCGGGACCCAGAAGAGUGGGCGAACCCAGAGGAGUUUAUACCAGAAAGGUUCUUGGUAGACGACAGUGAUGAGACAAGGGUGGUGAUUUCAGGUACCUUCCAUUUGGAUCUGGGAGGAGGGGAUGCCCUGGGUCUUCACUUGCCUUAACGGUUAUACAAGGGACAGUUGCAUCACUGAUCCAAUGUUUUGAAUGGAAGACGAAAGGGGGAGAGAGGGUUUGUUUGGAAGAAGGAUCAUCAUUUUCUACAGGAUUGGCAAAACCACUUGUUUGUUAUCCUGUCACUCGUUUUAAUCCUUUUUAAUUCUACACUGCUGUUAUCUCUAUCAAAAGUACUGUUCUGUGAUCUAUUAGUAUGUUGUUUUUAGGUUCAUCAUCUACUCAUUCAGCAUGGGUGUUGUUUGUUACCACUGUUGUCAUGUAACUGUGAUUUUUUAAACAUAUUUAUAGUUUCUGCCAAAUAAUGAGGUGUCUCAUUGUGCAUUGUGCUGUCUUCAGAAUAAGUUGGGAAUAAGCUGCCAAAAGAACAAAAGAUAUAGCGAUUAAAUAAUGAAGUAAUCAAUUAAUUAACCAAAAUAACUAAAGGACAAAUCAAUAAGAAUAUUCGUUUUAAUUACUUAAUAUCAUUGUUUCAUAGUUUAGUAAAAAAAAUUAAUUACUUGAAAAAUAAAAACUUUAGAUUUAAAAGUUAUUUUAUUAUUUUAAACUGAAAAAUACUUUUAUAUUAAAAUUUAUUGAAUACAGUCAGAUCUGGCUUAAAGAAAUUGUAUCAGUUUGGUUGGACUCAUACUUUAAUGAUCAAAAAGUCUAGUUUCUUUCUAUCAUAUCGGAUACAUUUUUUAUUCAAAUUAAGUACACAAAUAAAAUUAAUUUAAUUUAAUAUAAACCUAAAUUCAUUUAGAUUGUUGGCUGAAUGGACUGAGCUAAAAUCAACCUACUUCAAAAUUCCUAAAGUAUUGAUCAGGAGUGCCUCAUUGAAAUAACAUGAUAUGAUAUUAUUCACUUAUUCAAUGUAGCUUUUUCCAUAAUCAGUUGUGACUAUAGCCAAGGCAUAGAUAUAAAUACAAAAAAUAAAAAAAUCUCAUGGCAGUAAUGUUGUUCUUCUAUUGUAUGACCCUCCAGGAUACCAAAAUGUUGCAAAGUCAGCAGCCCGCUAAUUAAUAUUAUAGAAAAUAAUUAGAUACAAUGAAUUGAUAGAAUCCAAGUUCGAAACAAAAAUAAAAUACUUUGAUUGGUUAAAAGUUUUUCUAUAAACACUAAUGACGGAAGAAAAAAUGGCUUUUCCGAAAAGCUAAUUUUAAUUAUGCACAACUAUGCACAUAAGCUUAAUUUUAGUUUAUAGAAAAAGUUUAUUUAAUUAUUUUGUUUAUCUUCGUCUUAAAUAUAAGUACUAAUGGAGAUGUUUAUCUAAACAGGAUUUAGAACAACUCGUAAGAUGAAGUGUAGCUAUUAUACCUGGAUGGAGAAUAGGAAAAAGCAUGCAAGGCCUAACCAUGAAUGGAGGUUGUAGAAAUUGUCAAUGCCCUUGUCAAUGUGAAACAUCCAAGCAACCCAGAUACCGAUCAAGUUCAAAAUGAAAGCAACAAAUUGUAAGGUGAGAUGAUUGAUCUUUUGAAGUUUUUAGUUCCAGAUAGAGUCUUGUAUGCAAGCAUCCCUGUAAAUUGCCAGAAUAAAAGAAGGUAGUUUCUAACAUGAAAGUAUCUAUUGAUAUUGAUUUACAUUCAGAUUAUGAAAAAAAUCAUACAUGGAGACAAAACAAACAUCAAAUCUUAUUUGAACUUAAGUACAUGAUAAAAUACUUAAAUGUAGUUAUUAUUCAAUCAAAUUUUGUGUUGAAAAUAUUUGCAGUUAAAUGAAUGUAGUUGAGUGUAGUGUAAAAUUUGUAGAACAAAUAUAAAUUAUUCUCAUGUGAAGCUGAAGUUCUUAUCUCUUGAAGUUUGGUGUGAUUUGAACAUAUGGAACUUGCAAAAUCAUAAUUAUGAACACAUGGCACAGGUAUAUGGAUAAUAGAAAUUUGUGCGUGAUUUCAUAGUUUGCGUGGUUAAGGUAAGGCUCUUGAGAUGAAUUGAAUGCAUUGGUUAACUUUAAACAUGUUAUCAGCUGGUGACAUGCUUGACAUUUCCUUAAAUAGAUUUGAUGGUAAUAUUAGGUAUUAUCAUUCUUCAGCAAUCCUUACACUUUUAUUUUCUUGUCCUUCUUUGUAGAGUCUAUGUAUUGCAGGUUUGUCUAAUGGUUAUCAACAGUCUUCUACCAGUUUUUCUGUUGCCUCAGGGGGGACAUUUCGUCAAUGGGGUGCAGAGAACAUUUCGUUGAUUCCCAGUCCUGUAUUCUCAGUCAACAGGAGUCACUCAUAUUAUCACAUAUGAACAUAGAUUCUAAUACUAAUGGAGGUGCCUUUCCGGUGUAGAGUCUACUAUGGUACCACUGUCACAACUUCAGUAGCAGAAGCAGCAUGUUGGUGGCCAAAAUAGUCAUGUAUUAUUGCAGAACCUCAACAGUCAAAUGGGUAUUGGACUGAGAUCUGGUUUACUACAGAAGCCAUUUACAAACUCAAAUGGUGCUAUAAAUAGUGGAUAGGGCUUGAUUGGAAACAAUAUACAGCUUGCAAACGAACCUGGCACUUCUUCUGACAGCUAUGCCUCCACUUAUGCAAAUUCACCUAAACACUUGCACCGGCACUUUGAUCAAAAUCAGAAACAAGUAAGGUAAUAUUUUUCUCACUCCUUUUAAUUUUGUUUUAUCAAGGAAUGAGCCUAAGACUUUUACCUGUAACCUAACACCUGUAUUAAGCUUCAUAACCUUUUAGGACUAUGUUUUUUGUGAGUUUACACAUCUGUGUGUCUGUUUACAUAUUGCAUGUUCUGUAUUGAAUGAUAGCACAGGGUAAUCAAUGUAAAAGAAAGUUGUAGACUAGAGUACAAAAGAAAUUGAUGAUUAAGUUUGUAUAUGAACUGAAAGCUGUUAGAACAACUAGAUCAUCUCUUUUUAUCUGUCAUUGGAUGUUCUUUUUUCCUUCUCUCACAUUGUUGUGUUGAUAUGUUGUCUUUUCUUAUAGGCACUUGGGCAUAUAUAUGUUCAGCUUGGUUAAAGUGAAAAAGGGCAGGACUUUAUUAGGAGAGCUACAAAAAUGAUUUGGGGAUGCUCACGUGAAUGCUUCUAGAACACCUUUUGCAUUGAUAUUUUUAAAUUUUUUUGUGUUCAGUGUUGUGCAAUAUAAUAUUUAUAAUAUUUGCUACACUUGUUUUGAUUACUUGUUGAGUUAAUGUUCUAUAAUGAAAAACUUUAUUAGGUUAAGUUGUUAUUUAUGUUUUUUAUUUGAGUUAGUGGGAAUAUUUAGUAUUUUUUUUAAAUAUGAGAUUAUAUAUAUUUGAAUAAAAAUUGUCAUUUGUUCUAUCUCCCUUGUUUUUGGUGAAGUAUUUUUUUUUCCAAUUAAUAUUGUUGUUAGCUCUCUUCCUUUUUCUGAUGUGAUUCUUCAUUUUUUGGUAUAUAAUUUCAUUAAUUAAAAUUCAAUAGAUUUCGAAUUGAUUCAUUUGCUGUUGCUAAAAGUGAAAAAAUUGAUAAUUGAACUAUAACAUUCUUGAUAUAGUUUCAAUUUUUGGUUUGUCAAAAAAGAUUCAUUGUCUUGCAGACAUUUCUUGAGCUGAGAGAAUUAUUAAUUCUUUAUGACACAUGAGCUGCACUAGAUCCAUUAAAAAAUGUAAUGGAUAUAGAGUUUAUCAUAUGUUCUUUUUUUGGUUUGGAAAUUUUAUAAUUUAUCAUAUGAAUGGACUUUUGAAGUUUCAUAAUUUGUUAUGAUAUAGAUAUUGUAAUUGUGGUCCAGACUCAAACUCUUUUUAAGAAGGGAGGUCAAGAAGUACCAAUUGAAUUACUAAAUAAUGUUGGUACACCUCAGUUUGAAAGGAUUCAAGUUUGAUUUUUUUAGUUGUAACUUAUAUGUCACUCCUUUUUUUCAACAUAAUAGAUGUUGGAUAGUUGAAUUUAGAAGGAGAAAAUAUUGAUUUUAUUAUUCAAUAAUGAGAAUAUAGUGCUAAUAUAAGGACUAUUUUACAAUAUUGUUUGAGAGAAUGUAGUUCGUAGAUUUUGCCUAUCAUCCAUAUGUACAAACUUUUGAUUUAUUUGAAUAAACUUCUCCACAAGUUUUUUGUUUUUAUAUUAACUUGUCUAAAAGUUUUUGUUUAUUUAUUUUUUAUUUUUGCAUAAGGUAGUCUUAGCUUAUUAAAAAUCUUAUUGCAUUUUUUUUUAAUUUUUGUCUCUCUUAAGUGUUUACAGAAAAAUUUAUCCAAACAAGCUUUAGCAAAGACUAUUUGCUUUCCUAGACUAAUAUUAAUUGAGUGCAACUCCUUAGACAAUGAAAUACCCAUACCUAUAUUCAUAAUUGUAUUAGAAUUCUAGUCAAUGUAGAAUAUCAAUGUAGAAUAGGUUCUAUCUUAGAUAUAAGUAAAUCUGCAUUAGCUAAAAAAAAACAUUAUCUAAAUUUUUUUAAAUGAUAGCAUUGUUUAUUUUCAUAAAUUUUGUUUGAUAAAAGUUAUCAAUAUAAUAAAUUUACUUUUUUAUAAUAAGAAUCAAACCUAAAUAUUUAUGUUUAUUAUUCCAACAUCAAUAACUAAAUGGAUCUUAAUGAAUAAGAUGAAUGAUUUAAUAAGUAAUAUGUAUUUCUUAUAUCAAUAUAAUUAUUUGGUAUUAAUACGAAAUUAUACCUAUAUAGUAUUAUGAAACCUUGAAAAGUAAAUAAAAAAAAGUUGAAGGGUAGUAAUGUAUUAAUGUUAGGUGGUAGAAGAAGAACAAAGGGUCUGAGAAAAUUGUUGGACUAUUUUGGUUCAACAUUUUUAUUAUUUAUCAUCUAAUUUUUUAUAUAUACACCUCUUAGAAGUAAUGGAGGGUUUGAAAACUGCCGGUAAUAAUGGGAGCUUGAAAACCAUCGAGAAUAACGGGGAUUUUCAAAACCAACAGAAAUAACGGGAGUUUCCAAAUCGUCGGGAGUAACGGGGAUUUCCAAACUGCUGAAAAGUAAUUAUUUUCUAGGAGUUCGUAAAAACCGUUGGUAAUCCGUAGGCGAUGCUGGAUCUAUCAGAAGAAAAGCAAACCAUAGAUAACGUACUUAACAAAGGUUAAAACCGUCGAAAAUGCAAAAAGUAAUUCCAUUAAAAACAAUUUUUUUUGUAGUAUUUUUUAAUCUCUUUUAACAUUUCAAAAUACUAACUAAAAUAUAUUUUAUUUUCUUAAAAGAAAGUAUUUCCCAUAAUAUAAAACAAGGAAGAGAAAAUAAAGAUAAAGAUAUUAUUGAAAUAAAAUGAGUGUUUUUUAUUAUUGAAAUAUAUUAUUGAAGGAAGAAGUAAGAGGACAUGGAAGCUGUCUGGCUGCAGAGACCGGGGGUUUUCUUUGGCAAAUUCUGAUGUUAUCAAAAUGCAGCUAUCUUUGUCAUGAUGAAAAGGGAUGGGAGGGAGUUCUUUUUUCACAUCUUUUCAGUAGCUGUUCAGUAGGUUGCUAAUUCCAGGAGUUUCUUCUUUUGCUGGUUUAUGUGCAGAUCAAGUUCCUUUGGUUGGGACUCCUUAAUAAUUUAAGUUCUAGUGUUAAGUGCUUUAAUUCUCAAUUUGUUUUGUUCUUUGUUUAAAAAAGUGGUUAUGUAUAAAAAAAAUAUAAUAUAAUUGUAUAUAUUAACAUUCUCUCCUCCCAUCAUAAUUUUUAUUGCGCUAAAAUAUAUUGAGUAUAAAAUGUACCUUUAUCAAUUAAUAAUUUUAUAUAAUUUUUUCAUCCAUUCAUAUAAAAUAUUAAAAUUUAAACAUAAUAAUAAAAUUAUUAAAAAAAUUAUAUUUUAAUAUAUUUUAAAAUAUACUCUGUGUUAUUAAAAAGAGAUAAUAAAUUAAUAUAAAAUUGUGUAGAUACAAUCUAUAUUAAAAGAACUUUAAAUUUAAUUAAUUGUAAGUUUUUAAAAAUUAUAAUGCGAUUAAAACUAUUAAAUAAUGUAACAUUUAAUAUAAGCUAUAUAGUACAAAUACAGGUAUAUAUAUAUAUAUAUAUAUAUAUGUAUAGUUUACUAUUCACAAAGGACCACUUUUCAUAGGACCACAUUCAUAAUUGAGAAGGUUUGGGACUAUUUGAUGUCUGUUUUGGUUUGACAACCUUAGUUUUUAAUCAAAUUGGUUGAAAUAUUGCUAUCAAUGGUGUGAUUCCAAAUAUAAAAUAACAUUAAGGAAUUUAAUUUCAUAUUUAUAAAGGUAAAAUAUAGCUAGUAUUAUGUAGGGAUAAAAUAUUUUUACAUUUAUUUAAUCCCAAACUACUUAUAUAAAUGCAUAGGAGAUUAGUGUGUCACUAAGACCCACAAUGGUAGUGUUGUGGAACUUGUAAUAGUUUGAACUCCAAGAAAAAAAAGCAGAUAGAGUGACCAAAAACUCAUCAAUGGAUGCUGCUGGUGCAACCCUUUUGGGUUACAUCUUCUCCUUCUCCUUAGCUUUCAUUCUUUUCACUCUACUUUUGAAGUCCCUUGGCAUUUUACAAACAAAAAAUGGCAGUGUUGGAGCUCCACCAUCUCCACCAUCGCUUCCCAUUAUCGGUCAUCUCCACCUUGUGGGUUCCGUUGUACCGAAAUCAUUCCAAGCUCUGGCUCGCCGUUAUGGCCCUCUCAUUCAGCUCCGUUUAGGUGCCUCAACAUGCGUAGUUGUCUCCAACGCCCAAGUCGCCAAAGAAGUCAUGAAAACACAUGACCUCAAUUUCUGUUACCGACCCCAGUUUGGAUCCUCAGAGAACUACUCGUACAAAGGCUCUGAUUUCGUCACUGCCCCAUAUGGCCCUUAUUGGCGCUUCAUCAAAAAGCUUUGCGUUACUCAACUUCUCUCCACCACGCAGCUUG